Molecule: long non-coding RNA, 62754 nt
Filed under: Erythranthe guttata (spotted monkey flower)
Lineage: Eukaryota; Viridiplantae; Streptophyta; Magnoliopsida; Lamiales; Phrymaceae
Description: long non-coding RNA (EGUT_LNC000899)
Source: RNAcentral
AUGACGCAAUUUGAAGAUUUUUUUUUUCUUCUAAAACAAAUUUCCCAACAUUCAUUUUUAUGACAUAUCUCAAAUGUCAAUUAGCCUAUUGUACAAUAGAAAAGACCAAAUAUUUGCCAAAUGAUCAACUUUGUACCAAAGAAGCAUAAGUUAUGUCAUGAUUGUUGUCUAGAGAAUCAUAGAAAGGAUUAAGAAAUAAAAGAAACAAAAACAUUAACCGUCCAGUAUUUGAAGAACAAAAAAGAUAAAAAUAAAACAAGAGAGAAUUUGAAAAUGAAAAUAAAACAUCUUUGAAGAGACAAAAGGAACAAAAGGGCUCAAAUGGAAAACAAAUACAUUUGUCCCCAUAAAUAAGUAGAGAGAUCAAAAUCAAGCAUGAGCUUGAGAGUUUUAGUGACAUGCCCAAGCUUUUCACAAAGACGACUGUGCCUCUUCUCCGUAGCUGUUUUGAAUUGCUCGGUAUCAGUCCGAUAUAUAUCCAACAUCACACGUAGAUUUUGGGAAUAAGGAUCGACUGGAUGAAACUUUGCUUGCACAAUAGCCAUAUCGAAAACACCAUCUUCACUAUGACCUAAGAGUGUGGUGUGUGGAAUCAGUACAUCACAAUGUCUUACAUAUGAUGGAACAUAAUCAUAAUCAUUAGGAAACUUUGAUACCGGAAUUUCGAAUUCACUGAUAUCUCCAUAGUUAAAAUUAGCAUAAGCCCAGUGAGGAGUGAAAUAAAACUCAUAAUCAUGAAUCCCUAUAAAAUAGCCAUCAAGUGAAUCAGGAAUACCACCAAAUUCUUCCCAGACCUUAGAUUGAGAUUGAGCGUUAAGAUCGAGAGCAUAGAUACCAAACUCGAGACCAUAGAUACCAGACUCGAUCAGAAUCACAAAACGGGAAUCAGUCAGAAAUCCAUACGAUUGAAUUAGAAAAGAAGAUAAAGAAGACCCACCACAGCUAGGUACCAGUGGAGGGAGAUCUUCCCACGUGUCAUUAGAAACGUUAUAUAACUCGAAAAUAUCACCAUAAAACAGACCACCAUCACCCAUGAUGAUUUCUGAUGAAAAAACUAAAAUACGAUUACCACCGUCUGGUGUGGGAAGAGCUAUAGGAGAAAUUUUCCCGUGACGCAUAGCCUUGAUCUUAACUAGGUUUUCUUUCUUCAGAUUAUAAUCGAUGAUUUCUUCUUCGCUUAUCUCAAACUUACCUGCAAAAGUUCUUCCGCCCAUUCGGCCACCCAGAAACAUGUCUCCCUCAAACAUAUAAAGUGUGGAAUUUAGAGCACAAAAGGCCACCCCAGGAACACUCCCUUUGAAUCGAAUAAUGGGUUCCUUAUGAAUGAAUUCAUCGCCGCCGCCGCCCGAGGAUGAAUCCAAAUCCACAAUGUAAAAUUUAUAUUCGUCGCCAUCGGGAUGCAUACAUCGCAAAACGACACAGACUUUUUGAGAAACAGAUGACAAUCGCAGCCUUUUAGAAGCACGAACUGAUGUUGCUGAACAAGAUUCAACUUCCAUUUUUUUUUAAUUGAAUUGUGAAAUGAAUCGACAAGGAGAGAGAAGAUAAACAAACCCCUUCUUCUUCUUUUUUUUUUUUAUGAUGAAUUGUGGGCCUUCUCUUUUGCGUUGGGCUUCAUUUGCACAAAUAAUUCUAUUUCAAAAAACCUAUCAAACCCACCUCUUGCUUAAUUGACAAGGAGAUAACCAACCUUUGUUAGGAAAGUUGUUAUUACUCGUCUUUGCAUUUACGUCAUAUCGUCUUUGCAUUUACGUCAUAGCUUUAGGUCCUGUUUGGUUGGCAAGAUUAGCCAAAAUUAAUUAAAUAGUAAGAUUUAGUUUGAUAUUUGGUUAGCCCUACUAUUUUCCGCCAAAAUAAUUUUUAUCUUGACUAAUUGCGAGAUAAUUCAUUGUUAUCGAUCAAAUCAAACAUCUUAUAAAAUAAUAUGCCUAUUAUUUUAUACAUAAAAGUAUCUUAUCUUGGCUAAUUUUAUCUUGUCAACUAAACGGGACCUUAGUGUAAUUAUUAUCCAAACAUUUCUUUUGACUGUGAAUUAAUCUCAAGCAUUAACUUGUCAUUUUCUCCUUGUAGUAGAGCAAGAAAAUGCUUCAUGGAAUUUUGUAUAAAUAGCAACAUUCUGUAAUGAGAAAUAUUGACACAAGCUUUAAUAGCAAUACGAUUAAAUAUAUUAGUAAAGUUCCUAUAGUUAUAUUUUCUACUAUAUUCUAUAACAUAUUAUCGCUCGUACAAAAUUAUAGGUUUGUAAAUAAGUUUAUUUUUUUAUUGUACUAUUUUCUACUUAUUUUACUUUACGAUGGCCGGAAUCGAAAAACAGAAAUUUCAAAUUCUUUAUGAUUUUUAUCGCCAUCAUGUUUCCUAGGAUUUGAAAGACGAGUAUGUACAAUUAAAAAGACCAUCAGAAAUAUGUGGCAAAAAACUCAAGGAGAGUUUGAUCACGCAAAGACUGUGAUCCUCUUACAGGCCCAAUAUAAUUGGCAGCACCUAAGGCUGCAGGACUUUAAAUAUGUCGCCGACUAUAAUUCGGUACUGUUUAAGAUUGACACCAUAAGAGUGGUUGUAAGUAUCCACAAAGGAGGAGUUUUUUCGUAAUUUGACCUUACCUCAGGGGUUGGCCGUAAUUUACCCAAAAUAAAAUUGAUAUUGCUUGAAUAGAAUUUGAACUGCAUGCAAUUGCUAUACUAAUAACAAACUUUGAAGGUUAAUUGAAACUAUAUGUUGGCAAAUUAUCUCUAUCAAGACUUAAUGUUCAUUUUUGCAGUUGUCGCAGUCGGUCUUUUUCUCCGCUUUUAUAACAGAUUAUGUAAAGUACCAUAUGCAAAACUAAAUAAAAUAUGAGCAUGUAAUUGAUGUGAUCAAGCAAUACAAAUGAGAAGAUAAUAGUGAAGUCUGACUACGAGUAAAAAAAAAAUCCGGGACUAGUGCAAGUGUAUGAAAUUACCUGUCUUAUUACAUCAUUGAGGCCGGGACAAAGGCCUCCACAUGUAACAGUUGCUGCUUUUACCUCUUCUGGUUUGAAGUAUAUCUUUUCUCGAGGCCCAGCACGAUGCACCCUGAAAUUAAGUUGACAGCAGCACGAUGAAUUAAGUUUUUUUUUUUUUCAAAAAACAACAACAGCUUAUAAGCUCCCCAACUACUUUUUUUUUUUUUUUAAGAUCUCCUUGAGAAAAAAAAAAAUAUCAAACAAGCUUUAGUAGCUAGUAUGAGAUGAAAAGCAUAUUAAAUUAUCAUAAAGUUACUGCACCGUGACUAACGGUGACCGAAAAGCUUAAGCUGUUAGUGAUGUGAAUUAUUUAACUAUUAGUUAUUCAUAGUCUCUCCAUAUAAGCUCGUGAAUAAUAUUACGUAAAAGAUUUUUACCAUUGCUCUACCCAUGUACAGCCUGGAUCAAUACACUCGGCACCGGCAGAUGCAGGAGAGGAUUAACGUAUCACCUGAAAUGAGGAAAAUCAUCGCAUAAACAACCCUUUUCAGACGCAAUCAACAUAAAUAAAUUUUAUCCGCCAUCAUCUUUCCGAGGAUUUGAAAGAUGAAUAUAUACAACUUGAAAGGCCAUCAGAGAUAUGGCAAAAACUCAAAGAAAGGUUUGAUCACACAAAAACUGUCAUUCUCCCACAAGCCCAAUACAAUUGGCAGCACCUAAGGCUGCAGGACUUCAAAUCUGUUGCCGACUAUAAUUCGGCACUGUUUAAACUUGAGUCCCGAUUAGCCUUGUCUGGAGUUAAAAUAUCCGAAUAUGAUAAAUUGGAAAAAACUUUUUGAACUAUGCAUGCCUCGAACUUGGUGCUCCAACAGCAAUAUAGGCAGCGCCAGUUUAAAACAUAUUCGGAGUUGAUCUCUGUACUCCUCACGGCAGAAAAACAAAUGAAUUGCUGUUGAAAAAUCAUGAUUUGCGACCAUGUGGGUCCCAAGCUGUGCCUGAAGCACAUGCUAAUCAAAAUAGAAAUAUGGGCCGAUUUAGAGGCCGUGGGCGUAGAUUCUGGCGUGGUGCACGCAGAGGUGGUGGACGUGGUCCCCCUCAAGAUGCCCGAAAUAAUGACCGUGGUGGAUAUGAAUAUCCCCGUCGAAAUAAUAAUAAUAAUACGGUCUGGCAGAGACAACCAUUUCAGGCAAAACGCGAUAAAGGCAAAAUGCCCGCGGAAAGAAUUCCAGAAAAUAUGUGUAUUAGAUGUGGAAUGACUGGACACUGGGCCAAAGUUUGUAGAACCGCCCAACAUCUGGUAAAUCUGUACUAGGAUUCAAAAAGAGACAAAGGAAAAAAUGUCCAGGCAAAUGUCACUGAGGCAGAAAUGCCACUUGCUGUUCUUGAAGCCAGCACAUCUGGAAGCAUGCUUGAUCAAGAUCCUGCUCAAGAUGGAGCCUCUCUUGAGUUAUCAGAUUUCUUUACAGAUCUUGAUCCUCUUGUGUAAAUUGCCAAAUGAGCAUCUCUUUUGGUUAUUUUGUACUCAAUAUGUAUAUUUUGUAUAUAUCUCUCUCGGAUGAUGUAGUACCCGAGAUUGAACUAGUUUGUCUUUUGAUGUAUCCAUGUACAUAUCUCCCUUGGAAGUUAUGUUCCCAAGGUGGAGCUGAUAUUUUGACUAUGUAUAGAAUUAUGAGUUUGUUAUUAUAUGAUUUACAAACUAUACUACGAUUCAAUAUUAAUUUUAUGUUAUUUAAUUCAGGCAAACAUGGAGAACAUCGACAAAAGAGAAAAUUGCCUACUCGAUAGUGCAACUACACACUCAAUAUUCAAUAAUAAAAUAUAUUUCUCGAGUGUGACAUUGUGCAAGGCACAAGUUAAAACCAUAGCAGGUUCCGCGGAAAUAAUAGAUGGCUCCGGGAACGCAACAAUUGUGUUGCCUAAUGGUACCACUUUGCAUAUUGAAAAUGCAUUGAUAUCAGGUAGAUCAAAUAAGAAUCUACUGAGUUUUAAAGAUGUGAGACGUAAUGGAUAUCAUUUAGAGACACUGGUUGAAAAUACCGUGGAGUGUCUCUGCAUCACAUCAUAUGUUAUGGACAAAAGAAUUGUUCAUGAAAAACUCGAAGCGACAGCUUCUGGAGUGUAUUGUUUCCAAAUUAGAGCUUUCGAAUCCUAUGCCACUAUGCCAUGGAAACUCGUUAAUCCCAAUAUUCAUGGAUUAUGGCAUGAUCGACUGGGUCACCCAGGAACGACUAUGAUGCGUAGGAUUGUACAACAUACUAAGGGACAUCCAUUAAAAGAUACAAAGAUCUUAAUGUCCAAUGAAUAUUUCUGCGAAUCAUGUUCACAGGGAAAGCUCAUUAUAAAACCUUCCAUUGAAAAGGUCAGUUAUGAAUCACCGUCGUUUUUACAACGUAUUCAUGGUGAUAUUUGUGGACCAAUACACCCUGCAAGUGGGCCAUUUAGAUAUUUUAUGGUUUUGGUGGACGCAUCUUGUAAAUGGUCCCACGUAUGCUUAUUAUCUACGCGAAAUGUUGCAUUUGCGCGUUUGCUAGCACAAAUUAUUAAACUCCGAGCACAUUUCCCUGAUUAUCCCAUAAAAAUAUAAGGAUGGAUAAUGCCGGAGAAUUUACAUCAAAAGCUUUUGAUGAGUAUUGUGCAGCACUGGGAAUAAAUGUCGAGCACCCAAUAGCAUACGUUCACACUCAAAAUGGACUGGCGGAAUCUCUGAUUAAACGCGUCCAAAUAAUUGCUCGUACUUUGCUGAUGAGAUCGAAACUCACUAGUGCAGCAUGGGGCCAUGCAGUACUGCAUGCAUCAGCACUGAUUAAAUUGCGCCCCACUGCUUAUCAUAUGCAUUCCCCAAUGCAAUUGGCAUUAGGCUUUGAGCCCGAUAUUUCGCACCUACGCACAUUUGGUUGCGCUGUGCAAGUGCUAAUUCCUCCUCCUCAGAGGACUAAAAUGGGUCCCCAACGUCGACUUGGCAUAUAUGUUGGGUUUGAUUCACCGUCGAUUAUUAGGUUUUUUUAACCAAUGACGGGUGAUUUAUUUACCGCUAGAUUUGCGGAUUGUCAUUUUGAUGAGACAUUAUUUAUACCGAUUGGUAAGGAUAUUCAGAAUAUCCGUGAUAAUGAUAAACAAAAACCAAUCGAGAAUCUCACAUGGUGUGAGCAACGCUUAUAUCAUCUCGACCCACGUACCUCUGAAUGUGAAAAUGAGAUCCAUAGAAUCAUUCAUUUACAAAAUAUUGCCAAUACACUUCCUGAUGCAUUUAAUGAUGCCAGUAAAGUCACGAAAUCUUAUAUCCCAGCUGUGAAUGUGCCAGCUAGGAUCGCUGUUCCUGAAGAACAUGCGAAAAUGAAUGAUGAUCCCCCACGACAAAAACGGGGUAGACCUAUUGGAUCAAAGGACGUUAUUCCUAGAAAAAGAAAGGGGAAAAUCGAUGAACCCUCGAACCAAGUGGUUCCUAGUGAGAAUGCUCCAGAUGAAUCUGUUGAGCCUGAUAUCGAAAAAACGAUAUCAAAUACCGGGAAUACCGAGAAUCCCAUAAGUUAUUGCAAUGAAAUAGAAAUGAGAUAAUCAUCGAUAAUAUUUUUGCAUUCUCGGUUGCACAAGAAAUAAUGUACGAUGAUUAUGAUAGUGAACCGCGUUCCAUAAUAGAAUGCCGCCAAAGAAAUGAUUUGCCUAAGUGGGAAGAAGCAAUAAAAUCUGAAUUGGCUUCCUUAGAAAAACGGAAAGUAUUUGGGCAAAUUGUUCAAACUCCGGAUAAUGUAAAGCCCGUUGGAUAUAAAUGGGUAUUUGUCCGUAAGAAAAAUGAGAGCAACGAAAUUGUACGAUAUAAAGCCCGCCUUGUUGCUCAAGGCUUUUCCCAGCGGCCUGGAAUUGAUUAUGAUGAGACGUAUUCACCAGUGUUGGAUACGAUCACUUUCCGUUUUCUUAUAAAUAUGGUCGUCCAAGAGGGACUGGACUUACGUCUAACGGACGUUGUAACGGCCUAUUUAUACGCUUCACUAGAUUCUGAUAUCUAUAUGAAAAUUCCCGAUGGAUUUAAAAUGCCAAAAUCUGGCGCUGCUCGUGGGCUGCACUCAAUCAAAUUACAGAGAUCAUUGUAUGGUCUAAAGCAAUCCGGUCGCAUGUGGUAUCAUAGAUUGAGUGAAUACCUUAUCAGGGAAUGUUAUAAAAAUGAUCCUAUUUGCCCAUGCGUUUUUAUUAAACGAUCAGAAACCGGAUUUGCUAUCAUUGCGGUUUAUGUAGAUGACAUGAACCUGAUUGGAACUCAUGAAGAGUUAGCCAAUGCAGCUGAAUAUUUAAAGAAAGAGUUUGAGGUCAAGGACCUUGGAAAAACAAAACUAUGUCUUGGUAUUGAGCUUGAGCAUAAAAAUAACGGCAUACUUAUACACCAAUCUGCAUAUACUAAACGAGUGCUCAAAAGGUUUAAUAUGGAAAAUUCUAAUCCAUUAAGUACCCCUAUGGUUGUACGCAAUUUAGAUCCUAAAAAGGAUCCGUUUCGACCUAAAGAAUUCAAUGAAGAGAUACUUGGCCCAGAAGUGCCAUAUCUCAAUGCGAUCGGAGCAUUAAUGUAUCUAGCACAAUGCACUCGACCUGAUAUAACUUUUGCUGUAAAUGUGCUUGCGAGAUACAGUUCUGAGCCAACCCGGAGACACUGGAAUGGUGUUAAACAUAUUUUUCGAUAUCUCCGUGGAACUGCAGAUUUGGGAUUAUUUUAUUCGAAAAAUUCAACUAACCAAUGGUUAGUUGGUUAUGCCGAUGCGGGAUAUAGAUCUGAUCCGCACAAAGCUCGCUCACAAACUAGAUAUUUGUUUUGUUAUAAUGGUGCAGGUAUAUCUUGGCGAUCUACCAAACAUACAUUAGUGGCCACCUCAUCAAAUCAUUCAGAAAUAAUAGCACUUUAUGAGGCAGGCAGAGAAUGUGUUUGGCUAAGAUCAGUUAUAUCUCAUAUACGAAAUUCCUGCCAAUUACAUCCAGUUACAGACACGCCCACAGUCAUUUACGAAGACAAUGCUGCUUGUAUAGCACAAACAAGGGGCGGAUACAUAAAAGGUGAUAGGACUAAACAUAUAUCACCAAAGUUCUUCCACACACAUGAACUUCGGAAGAAUGGAGAAAUUGAUGUCCAACAAAUUCGUUCAUGUAACAAUCUUGCUGAUUUGUUUACAAAAUCCUUACCGACUUCUACAUUUGAGAAACUGGUAUACGAAAUCGGAAUGAGAAGAUCCAAUGUGAAGCAAGAUUGAUGAGCCAUUUUUGAAGAUUUAUAUUGUUUAUUUCAUGAGGAGCAAUGAUGCGCUGCACUCUUUUUCCCUUAUGACUGGUUUUGUCCCAUUGGGUUUUCCAGCAAAGGUUUUUAACGAGGCAGCUUAUGCACAUAACUUUGUUUUGAGACAACACAAUAAUGUUUCGUCCAAGGAGGAGUGUUGUGACAUGUGGACUCAACCAAUAGAAUCAAUUCUAUACACAUGCUACUAAAGCACUUCACGUGAUCUUCAAGUGCAUGCAAUAUUAAUUUUGUAUUAAUAGGUGUAUUAAUUUGAAGUGAUGACUAACUAAGUCAUUUGCUUCGUGUCAUUUGUGAAAUGGGUAUUUACCUAUAUAAAUAAGUGUAAUAUUAUUUGAUGAAAUAAUAAUGCUUCCUCAGCAAAAACUUUCUUACACUUCUUCACAGUAGUUUCCUUUCGCAAAAUUCCUUUUCACAGUAAUUAUAUAUAUACUAUAUAAUUAUUAUUCUACAACAUAAAUUUAAUUAUUUAAACAUCCGGUUUUUUUCCCGCAAAUUAAAUCACCAAUCCUCAUCCUGAGGCAGAAAGUGGAAGGGUACGGAACGGCGUCGUGCAGCGCGUCGGUUAAAUGGGGAAUUCUGAAGCGCGCCUCGAAAUCCUUCUGGUAAUUUGACUUCCAAUCCGCUGCGGCGGCGGAGGCGCUCCUCUUCUCCGAUUUCGCUUUCACCUCAAUCUUCCUCCGGGUCGGAAUCUGAACGGAACCGAAGGAAACAAGCGCGUGGACGGAGAUACGCGCCCUAAUCGGAGGAAUCAGCGGCGGUCUGAAUCUGAUCGCCGCCGGCGUAAGAGCUUCCAUCAAUUCUGAUUAUAUUAAAAUUUCAGGGCAAGAGUUUUCAAAAUCGUAAGCAAUUGCAAUUUUUGGUUUUUUCACUUACAACUAAAAAAACUAUAGGUUUUAAGGGGACUGUUGUAGCAUUAAUAUAACAUUAUUUUUUUAUUAUAAUAUUAUUUUGUAAAUUAUUAUAUUGCAAUUCCAAUAUUAGUAAUUUAUUAUACAAAAAUAAAAUAAUUGAAAAGCUAGCUACUAGCCAGCUUUUGAGUCAUGAACAACUAAAAAUAGAUUUGAGCUCAAGCUCGUGAGAAAGCUAGAGCUCGAGCUUUUAUCGAGCCGGCUUAUCGAGCUCUCGACUUAUUUACACCCCAAAAUAAUGAUAAAGUUCAUCAGAUGUAGGAUAGAUAGAAUAAACAGUAGACAGACAGUAAACAAAUAUUUUCCAGUCCAAAAAACCUUCCAUUUCUAUGAGGUACAAAACGAGGACAAUCUUGCACUCAUGGAAAACUAAACACGGACACAAACCAUGUGCAAUUUCAAGAGAAGCCUCUUUGUUUUUAUAUACAUUCAUAGAACACAAAAAAAGCAAACAACGGUGAAAAAACGUAAAAACGAAAACUACGGUCUCAUUCUUCAUUAAAAUGUGAUAAAGCAGUAUCGCACUCUUCCGUUUCAUUGAACUCUAAAGGUGGUUUCCCGCUUAUUGUCUUCCUGCAAAAUCGAGACAUUUUUAUUUAGAAACAUGGCAAAUCAAUUUUCAGUUUUUUUCGUUAUGAAAUCAAACACCAAGUAUUUGAUACUUCAUUCGAGUUAGGACAAAAAAACAUAUUCUCUGGUUAUACUCAUGUAAAAUGUAUAAUAUAUUACUAUCAAAUGAUUUAUUCUGCAUAUUUUUUAAUAUAAAUCCAAAUUUAUUAAUUAAAAUACAAAAUUUCCGUAACAUCACCAAUCAUGCAACUAUAAUAAGGGUAGACUUUAAAUUUAAUUUAAAUAAAUUUAAAUUAAAUUAAUUACUGUUAAAAUUAAAUUAAAAAAAUAAAUAUAUUUAUAGUUUCCAAGAAAGUUGAUGUAUUUAGAGAUUUUAUAAAUGGUAGUAUAUAAAUAUACCAUAUUAAUAAAACUGAAAUGUUAAAUGUCGUUUCAAUUUUACUAAUACCGUUUAAACUUCGAAUCUGAUUUUGACAUAUUUCUAUUUUGAUUUAGGCAAAAUUCGAAACACGAAAACGGUAGUCCUUUGGGUUAGCUUUCUAAUCUAACUUAAAUCCGCUAGAUUGGAUGCUGUGUGACAAAGUUAUGCAUGAAUGAGUCACAUUUUAAAUUUUAGAUACCUCAAUACAUCAAAGUUGUGGGUAGUAUCCAUUGAUUCAUGUAUAUCUUUCUCGUCCGACAUCCAAAUUUGGUGAUUCAAGUUGGAUUAGAAAACUAAUUCAGAAUACUACAAAUUCUAUUUUUCGUUUUGCAAAAUUUGGAAUUAAAAAUGAUCAAAAUCACGUUUGAAGUCGUAACGAUAUUAUUACAGCUCAAACGACAUUUAUCACAUCCCUCAAUACAAUAAUAAAAUAUAUUUAAUUACCUUUAAUUUUGGAAAUGAUGACAUGUUUUUUGAUGAUUUAUUUUAAGUUUUUAACCAAUCAAUUUGCCACAUGGGAUGAAAUUGAAUACAUGUAAUCAAUUGAAAUUGCCAAAUGUCAAACAAUUAAUUAUGUGUUAUAUUUAGGUAGAGUUAAUUGUACUUGUUAUCUCGAGCUCGCUGGAAAAGUCACCGGAAAAUUCAACCUGGACAAAUUAUUCCGAUGCGUUAUUUAUCAGAUAAAAUAUUAGUGGUAAUGAAUGGAUAAAAAUAAAAUAAUAUGAGAAUGUUAAAUGAUUAAGAAGACUUUUAUCAUAACAAAAUUUGAAAAUAAUUUAGAUGAUCGAUAAGACUUUUCUUUAUACGAAUCAUUCUUCUUUAAAAUCGUUAGUUUACGUCGUAUAGUUACUUUUAUUGCUUAUAUUUACAAGAUUUAACUUUAUUACAUGGCUAAUUUUUUUACUUGCACUGCGGUUGCAUCAACUAAUAAUUCUAGAAAAAGAAAUAUCCAUUAAUCGAUCCAUUUUGGAAUUAAUUAUUCGGUUGUCAUCUGUUAACCGACCUAUAAAUGCUAGGUCGACAAUGGUUUUUAGCGGGAAAAUUACAUUUUUGGUCCCCAUAUUAUAUAUUUUUUUUCAAUUUUGGUCCUUAAAUUUUUUUUUCUGCCAAGAAAUGGUCCUCAAAUAACCAAUUAUUUUACACUUUCAGUCCACCGUUUGAUUUUGGCGUUAAUUUGGAUGGAAAAGGCACAUGGAGGUACGUGACCAUGCUAUUUCAACCCCUUUUUUAAAUCUAUUUAUGAUUCAGCCCCAAUUUUAAUUUAUUUCAACAAUUGCACACAAAAAGAAAAAUAUGUGAGUUGCAAUUCGUACCGCUGUUGCAGAAACUCUCUCUCUCUCUCUCUCUCUCUCUCUCUCUCUCUCUCUCUCUCUCUCUCUCUCUCUCUCUCUCUCUCUCUCUCUCUCUCUCUUCUUCUUCUUCUUUCCAAUUUUUUUGUUCUAUCUUAAAUAUGAGUCUUUUUACAAGCGGCCCUAUUAGAGGUCUAAUUGUCAAAAAGUACAUAUGUUAAAAAUAUUAGCAUUUGCCCUUAUAUUUUUUAGUCAAAGCCAACAAGACCCUUAUGAGCAAAUCGCGUGUUUCACUCACGGCUUGUGCGAGUAUUUCUUCGAUUUUGCUAUAUAAAUACCCUCCUAUAAAUGAAGAUAAACUCAAUUAGAUUUGAUUAUAAAUAAUCUAAAGGCUUAGGGACCAAAUAGCAAUUUCAAAAAUUCCUAAAGAAACCCUAAUUUUUAUCAGAUCCUCAAUUGUCCCUCCUCUUUCUUCACUAACUUCGUCCUCGUGCUCAAAUAAUCGUUGUCGUCGGCGGCAAUACAACAACACCACUACCCCGCAGCCGCAGCACAACCACCACCACAACCUCAGAACGUCGAAACACAUUAGAGCACGAACCCCCUUCUUGUUGGUAAUGGUGUUGGUGUUGAAAAUUGAAGAUGGUUGAUGGAUUGUCUUGAUUGUUGCUGAUUAAUUGAUUAGAACCAACUUAGUCUCUUUUGUCUUCAUGGACAUAUUUCAAUGUUAACAAUUUUAAAUCCUGCAUGCAAUACAAAAACAUUGAAUCUGAAUAGCAAAAUCAUUUAACCUAAAGAUGAGAGCAAGAAAGAGAGAGAGAAUAUGGAAAACAAUAUGAAAUGAAAUAGCAAAAUCAUUUAACAUUUUUCUCUUCAUCCACACUCUCAUCACCAGUAUCUUCAUUUUGUACCCCCUUCCUCUUUCUCGUACUCAGACCCUUGAUUGGCGGCAUCGUGUAACUUCAAAUUCCCUAGGUCGGUCUUGUCGAAUUAAUGAAUUUUUCUACUUCUUUCUUACCCUCGAAACGAAACCCUCUUCAGCGGUAACCUAAUCACGCAAUUCUUCUAUUUUUCUCAGUUUUUCCUUACCCCGUUAAGCAAAUCCCUCUUUCAGCGGUAAACUAAUGACGCAAUUUUUCCAUUUUUCUCAUUUCUCCUUACCCCGUUAACACAAUUCUAUUCAGCGGUAAAAUAGUUACGCGUUUGAAGUUUUUCCUAUUUUUUUUUUUUUUGCGGAAAUAUGCAAUACCCCUCAAAUGGAAAAUAUUUUGAACUAAAACCAAUUGACUUUUAGAGUUUUUUGCCUACACCCAAGUUUCAUUCUUAAUUAGUGAGACCCCCCUGACCAGACAUGAUAAGACUAAAGUGCCCUUAUGUGGUUAGGUUUUUAACGUGAUACAAUUUUAUUUCUCUCUCUCUCACACACACAAUUUCUCGUUUUUUUUUUCUUCUUCUUUCAGCAGAUAUGUAUACCUGCCGGCGCACUCCUUCAUUUUUUGCACACCACCGUCGUAGUCCGCUCACCAUAGCCACCGUUGUUCGUGCACUCGUCACCGCCGGAGCCAACAAUACCUUUCAACCGCCGGUCAGUCGAAACCUAAUGCAGGAGGCCCUCAUCCGUACAAGUGGUGGCGGCGGUGCCUCCCCCACCUCGUCGCAGCCCUUCAUCGGAUGCGUUACAUGAAGAUUUCCCUUUUUCGUUCUUUCUCGAUUUCUCAAUUUUUUUAUUUUUUCCAGAUUUGUUCACCACCGCCACCGUAGCCACGUCCCCACUCUCUUUUUCAUUCACCGUUGUUGUCGUCGCCUCCCCCUCCCUCCCUUUCGUUAUUUUCGGUUUUUUUCUUUUUUUUUCUCUCCAGAUCUGAAACAGCAGCAUCAACGUGACUACUUUGGUUCGAAUAUGACUAUUGUUGAUUCACUCGAUUAGUGAUUUAUUAUUUUCUCGUGUUCGUUGUCUCUCUCGAUUUCUCUAUCUUUACACCACCAUCGUCUCCACAUAGAUUUGUACACCACCAUUACCGUCGCCGCUCGUUGCCGUUCGUUUCCACGUAAGGCUAUUUCUCUCUUUUUCGUUAUCUUUUUCGUUAUCUUUUUCGAUUUCUCAGGUUUUUUUUCCAGAUUUGUCCACCACUACCACCGUCGCCGCCUCUCUCAUUCUCUUUCCUUCACUACCGCCGUUGUCGUCGACUCCCCAUGCCUCUCUUUUGUUAUUUUUCUAUCUUUAUUUAUGUUUUUUUCGAUUUUUUUUUCCAGAUCUGAACAACACCAGUAACAUGACUAUAGUAAUAUUUAUGUAUUUUUCGAAUAUGUUUGUAGUCAUAUUGGAAUAUGACUAUUGUUGAAUAUGACUGUAGUCAUAUUCGAAUAUGUUCUAUCUUCUCGUUUUCAAGUCGACUUCUAAUAACUAGAUUCAAAAUUGUUAUCUGUGGAUUUUGAUUGGAUUGUUUUCGUAAACAAUAGGGAAUCUUCGUUGUUUUAUAUAAUUUGGUAAGCAUGAGUAUACCACACUAUAUAAUCGGAUUUUUUAAGUUGAAAAUGUAAAAAAUUGUAAUAUAAUGAAAGAAUAUGUCUACAUAGUGACAUAUAGUCAUAUUCAACUCUAGUCAUAUUCGGAGUUUUAAACAUGUCGAGAAAAAAAAAUCAAUUUUUUGUUUAAAAAAUAUUAAAAAAAAUUAAAAAAACUAUUUUUAUUAAAAAAAAUAUUAAAAAAUAAAAAUAAAUAAAAAAUGGCUAAAUAAUCCGAAAAUAAUAAAAAAAUAAAAAAAAAUCAUUUUUUUUUAUUUGGUAGCAAAUUUUAGGAAUUUGGAAGCAGAUUUUUAGGAAUUAGAGAAAAAAGGAAUAAUUGAGACUAAUUAUGCUAAUUGACCUAAGGGUAGAAUUGGGAAUACAAUUUUUAGGGGGUUAUCACAAAGAAAGAUUUAAGGGGUGGACAUAUGACCAUUUAUUAUCUAUAUGACGGGUUUACUGCUAAUGACCCUUUUUUUAUUUACCAGUGAGAAGUCCAUUUUGCCAUUUUCCCUAGCCGUCAUUUGCCCCAAUUCCAGAAAAUCCAAGAAGGAUUUUACCCUUUCACUCUAGUCGCCGUUCUCUUCCACUUCUCGCCGCCGGAUCUCUCUCUCUCUUCUCUACCUCUGCUCUUUUUCUCCCAGCGAUCAGUACUCUUCCAACUCCGCCACUUCUCCCAUCUGAACUGGUUAGCUAACCUUUCUAAAACCCUAAAUUCUACAAUUAGGGUUUAUGUUUUUUAAUUCAUUUUUUUGUCUCAUGUAACGAACAAACCGUGAAGUCAAAAGUUGCUACAUUCUUCUAUUUUAUUUGGUUGGUGUUCAACAAAUGUGCAAACGUGCUACAUUGCUGUUAGUAUGUCUAUUUGUUAAUAACCUCAACUUGGAACUAUUAAUUAAUGUCUAAUUAAUGUAAUCGUAUAAUUUGGCAGAAUGGAAGAAAAAAAUGCAGUCAACUCUUACAAAUACAAAUGGGGUCAGAUCACCAAUUAGGUCAUUUGACCGAAACAAAUACACAUGUUUCGACACACUAGUUAAGUCAUGGUCUUCAAUGUUUAUGAGAUUCUGGCAACUUUUGAAGUUUCAUUUCAACCUACAAUUAUACUCCAAGCUUAGAAUAAAACAAGCCAAUCAAAAUAUAUGUACAGCAUGAUUACCAAGCCAGUAAAGGAGCAAGAUUAGAAACUGUAAUUGAGAAAUAAACAAUCAUAAGUGCACAUCUAGAUGGGUAACUUACAGGCAUAUGAUGAUCUGCUAAAAAGAAUUUAUAGCCUUUCAUAUGGUAAUGAUUCAGGCCAAGUCGCUAUCUUCAUCAAUGAUCUGAAGUUCUUCCUUCUCAAUGUCACAAUAGUUAACCAAUGUAUCAUCUUCUUCAUCAACAUGAUCUUCAAAAAUAUCGAAAUCGUCAAUCUCAAUUUCCAUGCUUUGAAUUGCAUCAGCCUCAACAACUCCAGCAUCAACAUCUUUUCUUUCAAGGGACACCAGCUCACUUACGUCAAAUUGAAUGGGCAUAAGAGGUUCUAAUGGUUCGUCUUCUUGGUACACAUCAUCGUCUUCCCCACCAUCUCCAUCUUUUAUCUCUAAGGAUUCAAACACGUGGCGAUGCUGAAAUUUUAUUACUAUUCGUCAAUCUUUGCCCAAUUUCAUAUCAUCAAGGUACAAUACUUGUUUUGUUUGACAUGCGAGUAUAAAAGGAUCAUUCUCAUACCAAGUACGACUAAUGUUUAUGCUUUUAGUUUCCCCUCAUGUAUGAUGGAUUUCUUGUUUUCAAGAUUAAACCACUGAGCCUUAAACAGAACAACAUGAUUACCUUUGAUAUAGUCCAACUCAAUUAUUUCGGUUACGAUGCCGUAAAACUCAAUAACAUUGUUAUUAUGGUAACCUUCAACCAUGACACCACUAUUUUGAGUUGUACGACGACCAUCUCGCUCCUUAGUAUGAAAUCUAACUCCAUUUACAAUUUACCCUGGAUAUUUCUUCACAAUCAUACUAGGUCCGCAUGCUAGUCCAUACAAUUUAUCUAUGCCAUCUUGUGGAUUUUGUAACUUCUUUUGUGCCAUCUGUAUAGUCCAUAAGAUAUUGUUAGAGAAUCUCAAAUACAAAAUAAUAUAAGUAACUACAAUAAGCUAAGUUUUAGUAAUUCUACUCACAUGCUGUUUUAAACCAUUGUGGAAAUAACUUUUUGUGCAUUUCCUCUAAGUUCAAGAGAUUUUCUUGUUUGAGUAUCUCUUCGUGUUGCCUGCACAAACAUAAUUUUUUUGUUAAAAAAAUUUAAACAGUAAGGUUAUAAACAGGUAAAUAGUUAUAUUAUUUGUGUUCAACUGUGGACUACUUACUGAAAGAAUUCUUCUACUUCUUCACAAUUGCUCAAGAUAUACCGUCGACCCAUAUCCAACUCGGUCCUACAAAGCUCUUCAUAUUUUGUUGCUCCAAACGGUCGCGACUUUUGUGAGAAAAUAGACAACUUACGAUCGACUUCAAUAUCCGUAUUCCGUUCUUCUUUGUUGAAGCAAGACUCAAUUCCAUCAAGGUACAUUGAGCAAAAUAUAACAUUCAUUGACAAUAUAAGCUUCUACAAUCAAUCCUUCUGGACGAGCUUUAUUCCGCACAUAAUCCUUUAGCGUACCUACAUAUCUAUAAAAUAAUAUUAAUUAAUAAUAAAGUAUAUUUCUCUAACCAUCAUUACAUUAUAAACUGAAUAUUUAUUUAAUGAUAUAGAAAUGUAAAUCAUUAUAAAUUUGUAAUUUAUUACAUUCGUCGCUAAAUGUAUAUGGCACACUAUUCACAACAUUGAGUUCCGUUGUCGAAUGAGAAUAAAAUGCUACAAAAAUAGAUCGUUGUCGAAACUUUAAACUUCAGCCACAAAUUACAUUUUUUGUUGCCGAAACAUAACUAUUGGUAGCGAAUUUCAUAUCGUAGUUAACAAUUUGUUGCCAAUUUCCCAAUUUCUUGUUGUGAACCAAUUAGGUCAUUUGACCGAAACAAAUACACCUGUUUCGACACACCAGUUAAGUCAUGGUCUUCAAUGCUACAAUCGUGCUAUCGAGUUAUCUCAUCAUAAAUACAUGAAAUACAUUUUUUAUGAUGACAAGCAAACAACUAUGUUAUGUUACACUCGAUAACUACAUUGACAAGUUGAAGCUACGAAAAAAUAAACCCGAAAUGCCCAUGGUGGAUUAUGUUAGAAAAACUCUCCAAGACAGACAUUAUUAUAUGAACCCGUUGUAUAGGUUGAUAGUGAAAACGAUGCUUCAAUAUAUAGUCGACCAACAUGUUGCAAUGUUUUCGUUGACAAAGUUUGAAACGAAAAAUAUAGUAUUCGUAGGGGGUGUGCUCAAGUUUUUUGAUGUUGGAUCCCGUCCUAGCUCAUACGUCACACAUAAAGAAGAUUUCUUGUGUUUGUUUAAUAUAAUUAAAACACUAUUAGCUGGAACCCCACCGACGGCGGAACUAAACGCGUUUCUCACAUUGAUGGAACAACUUGAUUGCAAGAGGUAACAUAUACCUAACAUAAUAUACUAGUAUGAGUCCAUUUAUUUGUGUUUAUAUUCUUAUUAUGAUUUAAUGUUAAUAUUAAUUCAUUUGAAGGGACAAUUGUGGAUUGGUUUUGCUGAAUCAUUUGGCAAUUAUGUCGCCAAUGGAGUCAUUGCAGUUCUUCAUCUCAUGUAACAAGAGAGUGCCAUUUCUCACUCAACAUUUUAUGAGUUGCUAUGAUUAUGCUACUCAUAAAAUGAUUAUGUGUACGAAAUGGAACGAGAGGUUCAAUGUUGAGGAACCCAAUGAGCGAUCCAUAGAAAAAUGCUUCAAGAACCAUAAUGAUAACUAUAAUUUCAUCACUUUUAAUAUCGUUUUCUAUCCUAGUGGACCUAAGGUGAAUAAAAGUUUCUUGAGGUGUUGUCGUAAUCUCACGGUUCAUGUCAAAGAAAAGGUACAUGAUUCCACUCUGUUGUGUGACCUUGAUGUCGAAAGAAUGGUCAUGUAUGUGUUUGGUCCGGAACUACUUUCAUUCUAGAAGAAAUUGGGUACUUGUGAGUGUUUGGCACCAUUUGUACGACAUGAUUGAAGUUUAGAAUUUGUAAUAUUUUAUAUUUUUUAAUUAAAAAUUGUAAUGUUUAUUUCAUGUUUUUUUAGGAAUGAAUUAUUUUUCUCUUUUGGAGAAAAAGAAAAAUAUUAUUAAUUUUCCAACAAUUUGUAUUUGUUUUGUAACAUAUGCUACAUAAAUGAACUGUUUGUAUUAGCGUAUGUAAGUAGUAUCUUUAAGCCAAAUCAGAUAUAAAUUGAGAAAGGUUAAAGAAUAAUAUAAUUUAAUUUAUGUUGUGUAUGAAACUAAAAAGUUUUGAAGUCUUGGUAUGAUUGCUAAAAUGUUGAGCAUGUUCGCAAAAAUACUAUUAUAUAUAGUGUGGAAACAAAAUCCGAGAAAAUCAGUGUGGAGGAUCAACCGAUAAUUUCAUUGAAGACAUGAAGUUUUUGGUUGUUAGCCUAUUGAAUGAAGAUCUUCAUGUUCGGAAUAUAGAUGAUUGUACCAAACUGGUAACUAAAUACAAAGGUAACAAAGAUACGAGCUUUAUUCCGCACAUAAUCCUUUAGCGUACCUAAAUAUCUAUAAAAUAAUAUUAAUUAAUAAUAAAGUAUAUUUUUCUAAUCAUCAUUACAUUAUAAACUGAAUAUUUAUUUAAUGAUAUAGAAAUAUAAAUCAUUAUAAAUUUGUAAUUUAUUACAUUCGUCGCUAAAUGUAUAGGGCACACUAUUCACAACAUUGAGUUCCGUUGUCGAAUGAGAAUAAAAUGCUACAAAAAUAGAUCGUUGUCGAAACUUUAAACUUCAGCCACAAAUUACAUUUUUUGUUGCCGAAACAUAACUAUUGGUAGCGAAUUUCAUAUCGUAGUUAACAAUUUGUUGUCAAUUUCCCAAUUUCUUGUUGUGAACCAAUUAGGUCAUUUGACCGAAACAAAUACACCUGUUUCGACACACCAGUUAAGUCAUGGUCUUCAAUGCUACAAUCGUGCUAUCGAGUUAUCUCAUCAUAAAUACAUGAAAUACAUUUUUUAUGAUGACAAGCAAACAACUAUGUUAUGUUACACUCGAUAACUACAUUGACAAGUUGAAGCUACGAAAAAAUAAACCUGAAAUGCCCAUGGUGGAUUAUGUUAGAAAAACUCUCCAAGACAGACAUUAUUAUAUGAACCCGUUGUAUAGGUUGAUAGUGAAAACGAUGCUUCAAUAUAUAGUCGACCAACAUGUUGCAAUGUUUUCGUUGACAAAGUUUGAAACGAAAAAUAUAGUAUUCGUAGGGGGUGUGCUCAAGUUUUUUGAUGUUGGAUCCCGUCCUAGCUCAUACGUCACACAUAAAGAAGAUUUCUUGUGUUUGUUUAAUAUAAUUAAAACACUAUUAGCUGGAACCCCACCGACGGCGGAACUAAACGCGUUUCUCACAUUGAUGGAACAACUUGAUUGCAAGAGGUAACAUAUACCUAACAUAAUAUACUAGUAUGAGUCCAUUUAUUUGUGUUUAUAUUCUUAUUAUGAUUUAAUUUUAAUAUUAAUUUAUUUGAAGGGACAAUUGUGGAUUGGUUUUGCUGAAUCAUUUGGCAAUUAUGUCGCCAAGGGAGUCAUUGCAGUUCUUCAUCUCAUGUAACGUGAGAGUGCCAUUUCUCACUCAACAUUUUAUGAGUUGCUAUGAUUAUGCUAUUCAUAAAAUGAUUAUGUGUACGAAAUGGAACGAGAGGUUCAAUGUUGAGGAACCCAAUGAGCGACCCAUAGAAAAAUGCUUCAGGAACCAUAAUGAUAACUAUAAUGUCAUCACUUUUUAUAUCGUUUUCUAUCCUAGUGGACCUAAGGUGAAUAAAAGUUUCUUGAGGUGUUGUCGUAAUCUCACGGUUAAUGUCAAAGAAAAAGUACAUGAUUCCACUCUGUUGUGUGACCUUGAUGUCGAAUCAAAUCAGAUAUAAAUUGAGAAAGGUUAAAGAAUAAUAUAAUUUAAUUUAUGUUGUGUAUGAAACUAAAAAGUUUUGAAGUCUUGGUAUGAUUGCUAAAAUGUUGAGCAUGUUCGCAAAAAUACUAUUAUAUAUAGUGUGGAAACAAAAUCCGAGAAAAUCAGUGUGGAGGAUCAACCGAUAAUUUCAUUGAAGACAUGAAGUUUUUGGUUGUUAGCCUAUUGAAUGAAGAUCUUCAUGUUCGGAAUAUAGAUGAUUGUACCAAACUGGUAACUAAAUACAAAGGUAACAAAUAUACUCAUUUUGUUUCGGUGGAUUAGAUCAAGCAUUUAUUGCUAGUGGAAGUGAAGACUUAAAGGUAAUGUAAUGAAGAAUCAGAGCGCAAUCUCUUUUUUUCAUAACUUGUUGGAUUGACAGAGCAUUUUCAAUAACCAUUACUUUCAUUUGGCCCAAAGGCUUCAAUGAAGCUUAGAACGAGCCCUGCCACUGUUUAUCGCAUAGUUAUAGAUUAUGUGUUGCCAUUUUGUGUGACUAAAAUUGUUGAGGGUAUAUGCAUGCAAGAAUGUGUGGUCAUAUGUCGUAUUUUGUAUGAAUUCACAAAUGAUAUAACUGUUUAUUGCAUUCAACACCUUGUUCUCUUUGGAAUUGUUGAAAAAACCCCAUAAAGUCCGUAGAAGAUUUGUCAAUUCUACGCCCUCUUCUCUUUUCUCAAUAUCGUAAAAUGGAGUUUAAGGGAUAUGAAUUCACCUCGCAAUCAUAUAUAAUCGUUCUCGACCCUUCCAUAUCUGUCAUUCUCCUCAUCCACUUGCUCUUCAUCUCCAUAGACAUGUCCUGGUACUUCGGCCCAAACGGGGCGUGGCACUGGCUCCACACAAUCCGUAAAAUUGAACUGCAACUUUGCUCCAACAGACUUCACCAUCUUGCCAAUCUAGCUUAUAGUAGCUUUCAUCUCCUGCCGGAAAUCCUCGUGCGCGCCUGCUUCCUGCUGAAUCUGUCGGACUGUUCGUGAAAGCUCGGCUUUUGUCAAUGGUGUUACACUGAUUUUUUUUUUCUUGAGGUAGAAAUGUUGUUUUGGGCACAAAAUGUUUGAUUUAACGUGAAAAAAAUACAAUAAAUUUGUUGGAUCGUUGAACAUGGAGAAUGGCCUCGUCAGUUAAUGGUAGAUUUCCAUUGGAUAGUGGUGAUGUCGGAGUGUCAGCUGGAGCUUUGCCUUUCUUACCCUUGUGUUUCUUACCCACUCGAGAUGACCCUUCCCUGGAGGUAGGUUUGAGAGGUUCCGGAGGGUUGGUUAUUAGCCUUUUGGAAGAUUCCAUAAUACGACGAGCUCUCGAAAAAAUGGUGAUAAAUGAAGCCAAUUGAACCCCAAACUUGACUUGGACAAUUCGUCGAACACCUUCCGUGUAAUGAGGAGGUGGUGAGUAAAUUGUAUUAAGUUCAACCUAAACCUGCAAAAAUCAUACAAAUGAUCUAUCCAUUCAUGUUCUGUCACUUUAGCGACACAAGCCCCAAUCGAAAGAACCAUUGAUCAAAUAAUACAAGUAAAAAUGAACUCCAAAAGCAAAAAGAGUCUCAUACCAUUUAUCAUGCAAGGGACACAAUAUCGCUUAGUGAGACACUUGGUGCAGUGUACCACUCUUUCUUUAUCAUUCCUCUUGCACUGGUGACACGUGUUAACGCUUGUCCUCCUUCGCUUGUUAAAAUCGACAACCCAAAGGCCAACCAUCCCAAUAAAACAAAUUAGCAAGAUGACUCCGGAAAAAAAAAAAUCCAAAAUAGAAAAUAAAAUGAGUAUACAGAAUGUCCUUCCAUCUUUCAGUAAAUGGAAGUGUGUCCUGGAGAAAAAAAUAUUCCCAACUCCUUAAGAAGACACAUUUUCACAUAAUUCUUAACAAGCAACAAGAUCAGAUGAUGAUGAUGAUGAUGAUGAUGAUGAUGAUGAUGAUGAUGAUGAUGAUGAUGAUGAUGAUGAUGAUGAUGAUGAUGAUGAUGAUGAUGAUGAUGAUGAUAUCUACUGAGAAAGCUUUAAAAGGGUCGUUAAUACAUAUAAAGAGUAUAUGAAAACUGAAUAUGUGUUGCAUUAAAUUAAAAGAGCAAAUUAAACAAUCGCAACAUCCUCACAUACUCUUUCUUACCUCGCAUGUCUUGCUCCCAUAUCCAUCCUCAUACAAGAUGUGGUAGCAAAGGUAAUUGCUCAGAGCGCAGCCUGUACCCUAGUUUCCCUUACCCUGUUAAAAAAAAAUCCCUCUUCAUCGGUAACCCCUAAUGACGCAUUUUUUCUAUUUUUAUCAGUUUUUCCCUUACCCCGCUAACAAAAUUCCUCUACCGCGUUAAGGAAAUGACGCAAUUUUUCUAUUUUUCUCACUUUUUCCUUACCCCAUUAACAAGAUCCCUCUACCGCGUUAAGGCAAUGACGCAAUUUUUCUAUUUUUCAUUACUUUUCCUUACCCCGUUAAAAAAAUCCUCUUCAGCGGUAAACUAAUGACGCAAUUUGAAGUUUUUUUGUUUUUUUUCACUAGGCCAAAACACGACACUGGCGACGAAAAUUUGCGACGAAAAUGACUCAUUUGCGACGAAAAUUGCAUGUUUGCGACGCAAAAUAUUCGUCGCAAUGAUGGUCCAAAAUCGUUGCUCUGUGUCUCGUCGCAAAUACUGCGACGAAAUUGUUUUCCGUCGCUCCGUAUGCGACGAAACGGUUAAAUCGUCGCAAUAUUUAGAUUUUCCUAGAAUAUCCAUUUUAUUUUCUAUUGCGACGAUACAUACUCUUUUCGUCGCAAUAUAUUGCGACGAUACAUACUCUUUUCGUCGCAAUAUAUUGCGACUUUAAAGUCAUAAUCGUCGCAAAUAAUUUAGAUUUUUUGCGUCAAAAUAUUUGAUUUCGUAGAUACACUAAAGUCAAUUUGCGACGAUAGUGGAUCCAUAAUCCGUCGCAUAUCUGUAGCUAUUGCGUCGAAAUAUAUUUGGUCCCAAAAUAAAUAUUUUUUCUUUUGCGACGAUUUCAAUUUUUAGUCGCAACUGCAACUGCAACUGCUUUUUUUUUUUCUUCUUAAAUCAGAUUUCUUUUUUCUAAUAAAAAAUUAAAUAUGUACAUCAAUUGCAAUAAAUAAAAUUAGCUAUUACAUCAAAUACCAAAACACAUUAAAAUAUAAGUCUUACAUUAAAAGUAAAUAUUAAGGUAACACACAAAUACGAAUUCAAAAAAUACAUAAACUCAAAAUAAAGUCGUACAUAAGAAAAAGAAAAAAAAUUAAGUCGCACACAAACAUGAAUCCAAGUAAGACAUAAACAAGAAUUAAUCCUUGUUUUGCGCCCACACGUUUAAUCCCAACUCCUUUACACUUCCCCAACACUCUUUCAUAAACUAAUGAGUUGGCCGUACUUUCGUCACUUCCACCAAGUCUACACUCUUCUUAAACUUUCUUCAAUUCAGCCUAAACAACUUAAGUGCACAAGUUAAACCCAAAUUUCGGCGGCAUAACGACUAAAAUACAAACAUACAAAAAAAAUACCCUUAUCGAUAUACAAUAACCAACAUAUCCAAAAAAUACAUAAAUCCAUAUAUAUCAACUACUAAUUCAACAUAUCAACACUGUGCUUGCAUAUCAACAUAUCAAUGGACAAUCAAGUAAUAGAUCGGAACUACGCCAUAGAUACAUAAAUUUUAAAAUAAAUCCCAACUUAACAUUCAACAAAAAGAGCAAACAUGGAUAAUUGAGAUACUAAAAUUGAAGUAUUAAAAAUAUUGUGCUUACAGAAAUAGCAAGUUGGUCGGGAGUAGCUGUCCCUGUAAACGGUUGUUCCAUAUCAUCUCUUCACUAGUGGAUGACCCCAUUGCUUGUAAUGAAUCAAUGCCCAUAUAGGCUUUCUUAUAUUUAUCAACCACUGUAGGAGUUUUACUAAAUUUGUUAAAUUGUAAUAAUAAAUUACAAAGUAAUUAGACAUUUUAAAUCUUAAAGAAAUAAAACUCAUAGUUACAAUCACUUACAUGUUUAUAGGACCAACUAUUGAUACUAGUUCGACCCCAAUGAUGGUCUGUUGCAGCUGCCUUUCGUGAAUCCUUACGUUUACUAAAUUUGGACUGUGAACAUAGAGCACAUUAAUAGACUACUAUAUAUACGAAUAUCCUCAGUUAAUAUUAAAAGUACAAUUUACCUUCCAUUUACCUCCAAGAUUAGACAUAUAAUGAAAUUGCUCACAUAAUUCCUGCCCACAUAUCACCACUGAUCCUUGAUGAAAACUAAUCAACUAACAUAUUUACAAAAUUCUAUAUUAAGCUAAUAACUCGGCAAAAAUAUUGAUGCAAUUUCUUAGAUAACUAAUAGGAAAGUCAAAAUUCAUGUACUGUUGGAGAUUGAAAUCAAUGAAAAUUAAAGACACAUGCCAAGGUAUAAGCGAUUAUGCCUUCCAGAUUGUUCAAAAUAUUGUUUUUUUUAGAAUAUUAGACUCACAUCACAUUCACAACCAUAUACUGAUACAAUCAUCUUCAAUCAAAUAAAAAACAAACAACAACAAACCCAAUUCACUUAAUGGAGAUAUUUACUGGAAAAGAAUGGAGAAAAGCACUAACGUAUAUAUUGUGGAGAGAUAUAUGUGGGCGGCGGAAUAGGGGCUGCUGAAUCUCAACAACAGAGUGGGCAUCGGAGUGUGGCGACGAAGAGACACCGCCGUAUUGGGCUGCAGGGUAGGGGCUGCUGAAGUGAGACGACAUAGUGGGCGGCGGAGUGUGACGCCGCCUCAGUGGGCUGCGGCUGGAGCUCGACGGCGGAGUGGGCGGCAGAGUAUCACGCUGCCGGAGUGGGCUGCGGGAUAAGGGCUUAUGAAACUCGACGGUGGUGUGGGCUGUGGAGUGUGACGCUGCCUGAGUGGGCUGCAACUGAAGCUCGACGACGGAGAGGGAGGCAGAGUGUGACGCUGCCGGAAUCGGCUGCGUGAUAGGGGCCGUUGAAGCUCGACGGGAGAAUGGGUAGCGGUCGCCGGAGGGGCCACCGGAUUUGUGCAGCAGUCAAGGAGACAAAUUGAGAGGGAAAGACAGGACAAAGACGAAGAAAAAGAAUUUGGAGGAGAAUCGGCAAUUUAGGGUUGAAAAUUAAAAAAAAUUGCCACGUUAACCUAAACAACGUCGCAUUUAAUUAGAAAAACAAUAAAUUAUUGCGACGUUUUCUCAAUCGUCGCACAAAAAGGCGGAAUUUUUUCAGAAAUUUGAUUUUUGCAUACAAAAAAAGCGCGAAAUUUUAAUUUUCCAAAUUUAAUUGCAACUUUUAGAUUAUAUUCGUGCGACGAUUCUAUGUUUCGUCGCAAUUGUAUUUUUUAUUUAUCUAAAAUUUUGAUUUUAAUAUGUGAGUAUUCAUUUUCGACACAAGAAUUUCUGAAUUUGGAAGAUAUGCGACGUUACUGUCGAAAUCGUCGCAAACUUAUGCUUAAUAAAAUAAAAUUUUAAUCUUCUCUCUGCGACGAUUAUCUAGUUUUGUCGCAAUCGUGUCAAAAAUUAAUUUUACGGAGCAACUUGUGGCGUAUUUCUAGUUUCGUCGCAAUUAUUUAAUUUUAUAAAUGUUGAAAUAUUUUUUAUUGCGUCGUUUUGAUUAUUAUCGUCGCAACUGAUGUAUGUAAUUUUUUUAUUAUUAACUGUUGCGACGAUUUUUAAUUUUCGUCGUUCAAUUGCGACGAUUACUGAGAAUCGUCGCAUAUGUUUGAAGUUAAAUUGGAUCUUAAACUCAUUGCGACGUUUUUGGUACAAUAACGUCGCAAUACUGCGACGAAACUUGAAUCGUCGCAAAUAAAAUCGUCGCCAGAGUGCAGUUUUGGCCUAGUGUUUUUCUUCUAAAACAAAUUUCCCAACAUUCAUUUUUAUGACACAUAUAUACUUCUUUUUAUCAUUUUUAUGACAUAUCUCAAAUGUCAAUUAUUCUAUUGUGCAAUAGAAAAAGACCAAAUAUUUGCCAAAUGAUCAACUUUGAACCAAAGAUGCAUAAGUUAUGUCAUGAUUGUUGUCUAGAAUCAUAGAAAGGAGUAAGAAAUAAAAGAAACUAAAACAUUAGAUACAAAUAAUUUCACCGUCCAGUAUUUGAAGAACAAAAAAGAUAAAAAUAAUACAAGAGAGAAUUUGAAGAUCAAAAUAAAACAUCUUUUACAUAGAAUAGAGAAGCAAGGAGAUAUUUUUUUUCUAGCAAGAAUCUCUUUGGAAAAAGAGCCAAAAGGAACAACAUGGCUCAAAUGAAAAACAAAUACAUUUGUCCCCAACAUUAAUUAGAGAGAUCAAAAUCAAGCAUAAGCUUGAGAGUUUUAGUGACAUGCCCAAGCUUUUCACCAAGACAACUGUGCUUCUUCUCCGUCGCUCUUUUGAAUUGCUCGGUAUCAGUCCGAUAUAUAUUCAGUAUCACACGUAGAUUUUGGGCAUCAGGAUAGUCUGGAUGAAACUGUGCUUGCACAAUAACCAUAUGGAAAACACCAUCUUCACUAUGACCUAAAAGUGUCGUAUAUUUAGUUUUUCCAACGGUUUUGUAAUUUUUGCUAACGGUUAUAUCCGUUAGAAUUUUUUGACCAUGUCUUUCUAAUGCCGUUUUUCUAACGGAAUUCCGCCGUUAGAAAUAAUUUUUCUAACAGACUAUAACUGUUAGAAAAAGGUCGUUUUGGUGUAGUGAUAUGCAGAAAAAUUAAAUUAAAAUCCAUAAGCUGCGGCGACGAAGAAAAAAUCUUCACAAAAUCGAAACGAAGAACAAUCAGACGUCUCUACUACUGACCAACAAUUGAAACGAGAAACAAAAUUAACCACGAACAAUCGCUCGAAACAGUAACUUGACGCCUGAAGGAAGAGUGCUUCUCCUCCACACGCCGGCGACGGGUGUUUCCUCUUCUUUCUUUCUCCAUCUUCCGGCGGCGGAGAGAAAUUUGUCGGAGAAAAAAAAGAAAAAAAAAAAGAAAGAAGAAAAAACGGAGAAAAGAGAAGUUAGAAACGAGGAAGGAGAAUGGAAAAUGAAAAAUGAAAAAUGAGAUUAGAAUUUUGAAAGAGUAUAUUGACAAUUAAGAGUAGUUUUGGAAUUAUGAAAAUAUCAUUUGGCUGAAAUAUUAGCUAAGGGAGUUUUCUUUAAUUAUUUUUGGGAGAUAGUGUUUCAUUAACUACAUUUUCUACAUGUGGGGUUCUUGCUAAAUUUCUCUUAAUAUAUAUUCAGUGGCGGAUCUGACUAUGGUAUAGGGUGUGCAACUGCACACCCUUGAUUAAAAACAAAAUUGUAUUUUUAUACUAAUGCUAACAAGAAAGGCUUGUAGUUUAUUAAGUUUGUAAAUCGUAAUGCUAAUUUUGCUUCUCAUAAUCUUGCUAAGUGGGCUCAUCAUCUUUCUUGGGGUGGAGUUGUAGCUCCUAAUUAUAUCCAUAUUAGUUGUUUUUGUGAUGGUGGGCACCCUCUUUUUUAUUCUUGUAAUUUUUGUCUUGAGUAAUUCUACUGCAUCUUUCGAAAAAAAAAAGGUGGUAAAGAGCAUGUUCUUGCAUUUAAUAUAUAGUAAUAAAAAUAAGGGGUUUUCUCGUAAUAUAUAAGAUAUUAAAUACAAAAAUAAUCAUAACAAAAAAGAAAAUGUCUAUUGAGGAAGUGAAGAUCCGCAAAGAGCUAGAGUAAAGAUGGAAAUUGAGAACUUGGAGGAAGAAAUCAAGGAGCGAAUUUACCAUUUUGCCCUCAAACUACACAAAUUUUACCAACACCAGAAAGAAAAAAGAUUAAAGCAAUAUUCAUCAUGUGAUCAGCCAAACGAACAAGGCAACUUUAUUACAAGGGGAAAAAUUAUGUCUUAGGUUAACAUAACUCAAAAUGGAAGGUGGAAAUAUUAUUCAGAUUAAAGAAAUCAAGAAAGAAGACCAAUCCGGGAGGGGCAAUUUCGGCCCUAUAAAUAUUAUCCCUAGUAAUCCAAGACAUGCACGAAAUGUUCGAGGGAAGACAACCCCUCCCGUUCGUCGUACCGUCAAGUUUAAUUGGACAGAUCAUAGUCUCAGAUCCGGAUCCAACGUUGUCAAGGUUAAUCCUCUGCGAUCACGGCGGGAUAAUAAUCGGGAUAAAGUCGAUGUGGAGAUCAAGAAAACUGGAUUAUUGAAAGUGGGGUGGAAAUAUUAGUAGCGUUUUGGCUCCAAGUAAAUAAUUCGAAUACCAAGAAAACAAUUUGAAUAUUUUUAUGCGAAUUCCUUCAUUCACUCUAGUUUCUUGGUAUGCUUCUCUAUCUCCAAACAUUAACAUCAAACAUGUGAAGAUUUUUACUUGCACAUUUCGAUUGUGCUUAAAGACAACCCCAAAAGAUUUUUUUUGAUAUAUCCCUUCAAAGUAAAGCACCCUUGUUUAAAACCAAACCAUAUUCUCAAUUUGAUGAAAAUAAAUAAAUUUAAAAUUGAAAAAAAAAAUUUAAAUAUAAGUAUGCACUAAAUUCUCACUUUCUUGCAGAGAUAUUUGGCGGGUAAAUCGGAAUCAAAUAUAACAGAAAAUGACAUUAAAAGGUUUAUACAUCCUUAAACUCGACAUGUUUUUAUGUCAAGUACUCAUUACAAGUGAAUGGUUGAAAAUGCCACGUGUCAUUAUCAAUCUAUACUUGAUAUAAAAUCAUGUUACAAGUUGUAUAAGAUUUGAAAAUAGUGGAGUAUAUUAAAAAUGGUUCUUUUGUAUUAUCAAAUUUCGUAGGGUUUUUUUUAUAUGCAUUCGAUUCGACUCGUAAAGCUCGAUUGACGGCGUACUUUUUGUGAACCAAUGUUCUUUUGCAAAUUUUAGAACCUUCGGAAUUUGUAAGUAUUCGUUUUAUAGAAAUUUUAUUGUUCCAUAUUAUGUUCAGAAUUUCAAUAAUGCAUUAGUUGUAUUUUUCUCGAUUCUACGAUUUAUCACUCUUAACUAGUUAAACGAUAUUUACUAGAGACAUAAUUGGUGAUGAACACUACAAUCACUUUCUAUGUUUUUUGUUGCAAUCCAUAAGUAUUUAUUGAUUUUCCUAAUUAGGUUUCAGUAAUUCAAAAUCUCAAAUAUUUUGACACCAAGAGUACAUAAUAUAUAUUGAGUGUCAUAUAUAUUAUGUGGCGGAUUUGGCUAAGGUAUAGGGUGUGCAGUUGCGCACGUUUUUUUAAGAACAAAAUUGUAUUUUUAUACAUAUGUUAAUAAAAAGGCUUGCAGUUUAAGUGGUAAAGAGCAUGUUGUUGCAUGUAAUAUGUUUAUGAUUGGAUUUCCCCCCUUUCAAAUACAUUUAUUUAUCACUCCUAAAAUUUGCAAAUGAAAUUUUUUAUGUGUAUGUUAUUAAAAAAAACAUCCAGAGCAUUGCUCCUGAAUCACCGUAAAUUUUUCAUCCACCAUUUUUAUAAAGUGAUAAUUUUUUUAUUUUUUUUAUUAUACACAAUUUUGAACGCCUUCGGCAAAAAUCUUGGAUUCGCCAUUGUAUAUAUUUAUGUACUAUUUAUUACUAGAGAAACUUAUUAAUUUUUUUGGUUUUUUUUCAAGGACUAAAGAGUUAGCAAUAUAUAAUAUAUUAAUACAAUAAUAAUCAUAACAAAAAAAAUGUCCAUUGAGGAAGUGAAGAUCCGGGAAGAGCUAGAAAUGGAAAUUGAGAAGAACUUGGAAGAAGAAAUCAAGGAGGGAAUUUACCAUUUUGCCCUCAAACUACACAAAUUUUACCAACACCAGAAAGAAAAAAGAUUGAAGCAAUAUUCAUCAUGUGAUAAGCCAAACGAACAAGGCAACUUUAUUACAAGGGAAAAAAUUAUGUCCGAGGUUAACAUAACCAUCAAAAUGGAAGGUGAAAACAUUAUUCAGAUUAAAGAAAUCAAGAAAGAAGACGAAUUCGGGAGGGGCAAUUUCGUCCCUAUAAAUAUUAUCCCUAGUAACCCAAGACAUGCACGAAAUGUUCGAGGGAAGAAAGCCCCUCCCGUUGCUCGUACCGUCAAGUUUAACUGGACAAAUAGUCUCAGAUCCGGAUCCAACGUUGUCAAGGUUAAUCCUACGCGAUCACGGCGGGAUAAGAAUCGGGAUAAAGUCGAUGUGGAGAUCAAGAAAACUGGAUUAUUGGAAGUGGGGUGGAAAUUUUAGUAGCGUUUUGGCUCUAAGUGAAUAAUUCGAAUACGAAAAAUAUAUUUAAAUUAUUAUAAUAAUCAUGACUUAUUUUAAAAGUUGUGAUAACUUAAACAAAUGUUUAGAAAUUGUUUGAAAAUAAUAAGUUAUUUGUUUUUAUAUCUAAUCAUUUUCAUAUUUGUUUUUACAUAUUAUAUUUUAUGUUAAUUUAUUAUUUAUUCCAUUUAUUUUAAUUAUCAAAUAUUUAUCAUAAAAUAUAUAAAUUUAAAUAUUCAGAAAGACAUUUUUUUUUGGAGAAAAGGAAAAUUUCAUUUCAGAUAAUUGAUUCAACUAUUACAAUGUUUUGAAUAUCCAGUGGCAAAGAUUUGGAAAUAGUCGGAUCUUUAAAAGACAGUUGAGCUAAAGCAUGAGCUGCACCUUUCCCAUCCCGGCGUAUAUGAAGAGCAGAAAAAAAAACUCGAAACAUGGUGCAAAUUAUAAUUAAAUAAAAACAAUGGAAUUAAAACCAACUAAAUAUGAUGAAUUAUGAAAAUUAUGACGGUUUAAUUACGAUUUGUUCUUAAUAUUUAGAUUUUAAGUUAUAUAUAUAUAUAAUUUAAAUUACUCAUGUAGAUAUUUAAUAUCAUAAAAUAUUACUAUAUUUGGAAAAUCAUAUGAGGAUGAUAUUAGUAAAUUUCAAAAAAAAUAAAAAUAUAUGAAAUAAAUAAUUAAUAUUAUACAAAUUAAUCUUCAUAAAAACAAAUUAUAUAAUUUUGAGUAUUAUUAUUUAAACCGAGACAGUAAACCAAAUAAAUAGAAUGGAAUUACAUUUUUUCAUGUAACUUUUUUUUUUUAAUAAUAUGGAAUAACCAAAAAAAAUCUUUUUUGCCAAUAAUUAAGAUUAAAAUUCAAUUAUAUCAAUAUUAGCUUAUAACUACUUAAAAAUUAAUUAAAUUAAAUCUGGGCUAAUUCUGAUAUUUGGGCUUAAUCACUAUGGAGCCCAUAUUAAAGUAGAGUGUAUUUAAAGUGGAUGAGAGAGGGCCUAACUUUAUAAAACAGAUGUGAAUUAACAACUGCUGCUGUCUUUUCUGGGUCCUUUGUUUCUGCCAUUAUUUUACCACUUUUUUUUAGAAGAUUCUGAUUGGCUGACAAUAUAAUAAUUUAUUUUAAAAUAGUUAUCAGUAGCCAAUUGGAUUCGAACACGUGUCAUUUAAUUAUACGGUAAUUAGAUCAAUCCUAACACUUCAUAUGCUCCAAAUUAACUAUCGUUUUAGUGAAUUUUUAUUUUAUUUUAUUUUAUAUCAUCUCUCACUUUAGAAUUUUAUUAAUUACUGUUUCUUAAAAUUUGCAUGUAUUGCUAUUAAUGAAAAUAAAAUUAAUGGCACGAGUAUUUUGAUCAUACUAUACAUUUUCCCUUGAAAUCCACGCACGUUCAUUAAUUUUCUUAAUACAUACGCAACGAUAAAAAACGAUACUUAGUUUUAAACUAAUGAACCAAAUUUUCUACAAUCGAAGUUGAAGAUAAUGUAGAAGUUAUAAAGUGAAGUGACGUACGUCUAUUAUUAAACUAAUGAACCGAAUUUUUCAUAUCAUUAAUCAUCUCUUGUUUGGUUGGUUGUGAAUUUUUUUACCAAAUUACCCCACCAAUCGAUUGUCCUAAUGAACUAUAGUAAUUGGCUACCAAAAAAAUUACACCGUAUCCGUACUGAAAUAUUUUGGUAGGAUGAUAGUACCAAUAUUACUACUACUAAGGUAUUGUUAUACCAGACCGAAAUAUUAUAAAUGAAUAAAAAUUUAUAUUUCUCAAAUUAAUUUAUUUUAUAUGAAGAGAGAAAAUUAUGUGAAGUAACUGAUGGGCCAAUAUAUAUAUAUAUAUAUAUAUAUAUAUAUAUAUAUAUAUAUAUAUAUAUAUAUAUAUAUAUAUAGUCAAAAUAAAUUGUAAUUUUUAAGUGUCUAAAAUAUUUUGUACUUACUCAUUAGUGAUGAUAUAGUUGAUGUCAAUAGUUUUUAUGUUACAACUCUAUAAUAUAAAUUUGUUAUAUUUAUAUAAAUUAAUGACAUAUAUUAAGAUUCUAUGUACUUUAAAUACUAGUUUCGAGCGUCUUAAACAUAUCUAUGCGUUGAAUUAUUUCAAAUUCGAUAUCAACAAAAUAAAUAACUCAUACGACCCCGUAAAAGGUUCAAAGUUCAAUUAAUUAUAACUAAUCUUAAUUAAUUAUAACUAAUCUUAUCAACCAAACGAGAGACGUAAAUAAUAUAAAAUUCCGUAUAGAGUCUAGAUGACAUUAUUAUUUAAAUAAAAGUGGAAAUAAAAGUUAUGUUGCAACAUCAUUUUCCCAAAAAAGGAAAAAUAAUAAAGGAACCUAGAAAAUUAAAUUGUUUUCCCCUUUUUCUCCGCAUACGGUUGGCUGGCUUAAAAACCUUUUUUUUUUAAAGUCGGGAAAUUAGAAAUCAACGACACAUGAAUCAUGGAACUACAGAUAGCAAUUGACAGUGACCCGACCCGCACCCGCCCAACAUUCAGAUCCACCAACAGUCCACACUUCCUCUUUCUCUCUCAUCCCGCGCACAGAGAGAGAGAGAGAGAGUUACAUAUAUAAACAUAUAAUAUAAUACAACAACCAUCUCCACUGUGUAUUUGAAGCAUCUCUUCACCGUUUCUCUCAGUCGCAGCUCUACUCUGCAUUUUCUUCUCCAGUAAUCCGGUAUGAGGUAAAUCCAACUGUAUUUUUCAAUAUUGUUACAAUAUUUGCUCAAUAAAAUGCCUAAUUACGAUUUUGCAGCUUGUUCGUAAUUUAUUUAUCAGAUUCCGGUUCACACAAUGCCUAGUUUUAUUUUGUUUGGCCUUACACAGUUCGAUUUUUCAUGGCUUCUCGUGAGCUCUAGCUUUGAUACUUGUGUUGUUUGUUGUGCAGUAAAUGUGUAGAUGAAUCAGAAUCUGUAUCUAUUUCUGUGUGUGUGUCUGUUUUUUUUUAGCGGCUGCUAUUAAUUUUUUCAUGAGGAUUUUGCGUGAUGCUAUUGUAUGGGCCUUCAUUUUGCUCCCAUACAUUGUAGAUGGUGUAGAUCAGUGGCUAAGUUUUUCUAGGGUGAAAUUGUGUACAUGUUAUACCACCACUGCUGAAAAAUCGAUUGUGAUGUUGAACAGAUUUUCUGGCGAUUUUUAAAUCGAUUUGAGCUGGAAGCUACGGGAAAACACGCAAUGGAUCAGAAAUCGUGGCUUUGGAAGAAAAGAUCUACCGAGAAGACCUUAGUUGCUGAUAAAGCAAGCAAUUCUUUGAGCAAACACGAAGAAGAUGAAGACGAAGAAGAGGAAGAAUUAAAUGAGGUCUGGUUAUUAAUUGCUUGUUGUAUGUCUUGUGAUAUGAUUUUGCUUUAGUGUUGUGUGACGUUUUUUUUUUUUUUUUUUACUUCAGGUACAGAAGCUUCUGAUUGAGAAAACAGAUCUAGAAACAAAUCUUCGAAUAUCGAAUGAAAAGCUUUCGUCUGCCCUUUCCGAGUGUAAUGCAAAGGAUAAUAUUGCGAAAAAGCAGGUGAAAAUUGCAGAGGAAGCUAUUGCAGGUGAUAUACUGUUCGACGUUGUUGCAUUGACUUCUUUUUUAUAUAUUGCAUUGAGUAAAUCUCGAUUUUUGUAUUUGCAUAUAUAGGUUGGGAGAAGGCGGAGAUUGAGGCAAUAUCUUUGAAACAAGAACUCGAUAAGGUUUUACAACAGAAAGCUACUUCCGACGAAAGAAUAGGCCACUUGGAUGCCGCGUUGAAGGAAUGUAUGCUGCAGUUGCGUUUCGUACAGAAAGAGCAGGAUAAGCGAGUUCAUAGUGCAAUGGUGAAAAGAUCGGAUGAGUUUGAGAAAAUAACAAUUGCGUUAAAUGAAAAGUUAGCAGACUCGGGUAAGAGGCUCGCGAAAUUAGAUGCUGAGAAUACUCAGUUAAGUAAAGCUCUAUCAGGAAAGGAGAAGGUGAUUGAGGAUUUAAGCAAGUACAGAACUCAAAUCGAGGCUGAUUUUAGUGCUCUUAUGUCGAGAGUAGAAUCCACCGAAAAGGAAAACGCUUCUCUGAAAUACGAGCUUCGUGUUCUUGAGAAGGAGCUUCACAUUCGGAAUGAAGAAAGAGAAUAUACUCGCCGAAUGGCCGAUUCUGCCCAAAGAGCGAAAUUGGAAACGAGUGUCGAACCGUGUAAAUACUUACAUUUCUUGCAAGAGCACUCUUUGCUAUCUGCUUCGUCUGAUGUGGGCAGCGAAGAUAAAGCCAGCUGCUCCGAGUCUUUGGCUUCUCACAGAAACAUGGGAGCUUCAGACAUGAGUCUUAUGUAUGACUUUGCUGAGAUGGAAAAGUUAGCAGUAGUUUCUCUUUCUGCAGAUAAUAAUAUCCCAAUUCCGGAGAAGAGUGGACAGAAAUUCUCGUCGAAUUCCAGCUCAGCAAUACGUAAAGUUAUUGAGCUUGUCGAAGGAAUAAAUAUACCAUCUCAAGACAGUGAUAUUGAUAAGCUUUUAUCGACUAAGAAUUCAGAGAAAAACCCAACGGGCUAUGUGGUUCGAGUUUUCCAAUGGAAAAGUGACGAGCUUUCUGCCACCUUGCAAAGAUUCGUUCGAACUUGCAAUGAUUUGUUGAAUGGAAAGGGUGAUUUUGAACAGUUUGUUGUCGAAGUAGCUUCCAAUUUGGAAUGGGUUGUGAAUCACUGCUUCUCCAUGCAGGAUGUUUCGUGCAUGAAAGAUGCAAUAAGGAACCGUUUGGAUUGGGAUGAAUCGGGAAGUGAGAGUGAGGUAGAUAGUGGAUCGGCUGAUAACUCUGUAGAGAAUAAUACAAGCCAACGAGAUAUAAUUGAGGAUCUUAACUCAGAGAUGGAAACCGUGAAGCAAUUCGAGGGCAAAAAUGGAAACCGUGUCGAAAAGGAAAAAACGACGAAAGGAGAGCUCGAGAAUCAGUUUAUGGACUCUAAUCAUGAACAGGGAAAAUCUUACGAUAAUGUUUUGUAUUUAGAACAUGAUCUGGAAAAUAAAGAUAACUCUUGUGAAAGACUGGAAGAAACUUGCUACGACUUAAAUAAGCAGCUCAAAAGGUACAUUUUCGAUUUCUUUUUUAAUUUCUUUGCAUUUCGAAUCUUUCAAUUUUCUAACUUUGUGAUUUCUGUAUGACCAGCGAGGAAGUUCUCGAUAACGGAAGCCAGUGGGAAAAGCAACUCCAAAAUGUAAGUUUGCAUCGUUCAAGUUUCAUUCAGAACGGCGUAAUCUCCGACAAACUUACUCAACAAGAUAUAAGCAAAAAUGGCAGGAAAAACGAAAAUCAUUCAGUUUCGUACUAAAAAGAUUUUUUAGGUUGUCAUUAUUACUAAAUUAGUAAACUGAAUUCCGUGUAAAUGGGACUCUUCGAUUCUAUGUCUCAUGCUUCACAUUGAAAUCAAGACAAAAAUUGAGAUAUUCAUCUUACUAAUAUAUAUAUAUAUAUAUAUAUAUAUAUAUAUAUAUGUAUACAUGUAUAACUAAAUUGUGCACUAAAAACACAUCUUAUGAAAUCGAUAUUUCUUAUAUAGGAUUGGGAGAUAACAGUAGCUUCAGAAAAACUGGCCGAGUGCCAAGAAACGAUCCUGAAUCUCGGGAAGCAAUUGAAGGCAUUGGCUUCACCUAGCGACGCAGCUCUCUUCGAGAAAGUCAUAAAUACCCCUGAUGCUGACUCCGUUAUUACCACCGCUUCAACUCCUCAGAAAAAAAUUAGCCAUCGAUCUUCUUCCCUACUGGAUAAAAUGCUAGCAGAUGAUAAUAAUAACAAUCAGCUAUUUCAUGCUUCUCCCGAAACCGAGAAAGAUAUUCAAAAUGCAAAUGACGAAAAGUUCACUAACAAAAGUAAAACGGGAGCUGCUGCUGCUGCUUCUAUGGACAUUGUUGUCCCUUGUAAGAGAAAUCGAGGCGGGAGUUUCUUCAAGAAGUUGUUUUGGCGGAGGAAGAAGGGUAAGAGCGGUAAGACAUUGUCUUCGUAAGUUGUUAUUUGACUUUUUACGAUAAUGUUUUGAUCCUAGAAUUGGUCGAUGAUUCAAUUAUAUAUGAUGUUCCUGUUUUUGCCUAGUAUGUGAAAUGGAGUUCUUAUUUUUAUUUUUAUUUUUAUUUUUUGUUUUGGCUUUCUUGUCCAUAUAUAUAGAGAGAGAUAGAUGCAGGAUUUGUGUGUAUCUUGGCUUGCUGUAAAUGCAACAAUGAACAAAAGAAAAAAAGUUUUAUUUCUUUUUGAUGUUCCAUAUUUCACUAAAUUUGCCGCCAGAAAUAUAUUUCUCUGUAACAUCAAAUAUUAUAAAGUCAAUUAUAAAUAAAUAAGUUCAUGUAAUUUGGAGUGAAAAUGUUCGUAUGGGAUUAUAUUUUAUUUAAUUAUGUAUAAUUUAUUCUUUAUGAUAGUUCUUUAUUUUUUUUUAAAAUAUUUAUAUUAAUAGUUUGAUUGCUACCAUUAUGUUAGAUUGAGUAAAUAGUAGAAGUUAAUAAGAUGUUUCGUUAGUAAGAGUCAACAUUACUCAAUCACGCUACUACAGUUGAAGUCAGCAAUUAAAUAUGGCUGCAGAUAUUUGCAAGACGAAAAUUACUAAGUGCAAGACCUUACUUCAUGCAAGACCAAAAUAUAAAUAAAUUUACUAAGAUCAAGACUGGAAAUUACAAAUAUAACCCCAAUAAUAAUUUAGAUAUUAUUAAUUUAAAUUAAGUUAAUUGCUAUUGCAAGACCAAAAAAAAAAUACAAAAAAAAAGAAUAAAAAAAAAAAGAAAAAAGAGAGGGAACUCACUCACCCAACAAAACACCAACAUCUUCUUCUUCACCCUCAUUUUACACAUUUUUUUCCACAAAAAAAUCUUCCAUAUUCUCCAAAACCCUUAUCACAUAAAACCCUCAAAUCUUACUAAAACUUGAAAAGAAGGACAUUAUGGAUACACAAGACAUAAAUAUGGAGGAUUCUAAGGUCGAAGAACACAAAGAGGUAAGAAAUAUUGUACUUUGUGAUCGUUUUUCUCGUUUUUCGCACCUCAUUUCACGUACAAAAAAAUCGACAUGUACAGGUCGAAAUAUCAGCUUUAUAUCGACACUGCAGUGUCGAAAAUGUCAAAAUAAUUCGACACUCAUUAACUGUCGAAUUAUAUUGAAAUUAUCGACAUUCUGGUGUCGAUAUUAAGCGGAUAUUUCGACGCUAGUGUGUCGAAUUAUCACUGUUACAAUUGUGUGUCGAUAAUUUUCCAAAAAAACGACAAGUACAUGUCGAUUUUUGUAAAACCGCAACUCCUUCAACAAUAGUGCUACAAUCGAACCCUAGAAUCAUCAACUAUGUUCUAAAACGACUUGAAUUCAUUAUUCUAACAAUAAAAUCAUGUUUAUCACAUUUAUUUCUCAAAAAAAAGUUAAUUCAAAAAGUAAUUUUUACUUGUUUUUCGUGAGAUUGUUGCGGCGGGGUUGGGACAACAACGGAGUUCAACGGCGACGGGCGACGGCGGUGGACUUCAACGACGACGGCGACGACGACGGGGCGACGACGACGGGGCGGCGGGCGAUGGGGCGACGAACGGUUUUUUGCUGCAAUUGAUUAUUUUUGUUUUCUUCAAUCUUCCCUCCUCGUUUUGAUUUUGUCAAUUCAAUUUCCUUUUUCUUUUUGUUUUAUUAAUUUUUUUUUAAAUUGGUCUUGCAAAAGAAAAUUAAUAAAAUAAUUUUUUUUUGUUUGUAUUUUAUUAAGGUUAUUAUAGUCUUUUUAUACUGAAUUUAAUAAAAAAAAUUAAAUUGGUCUUGCACUAAGUAAAUUUCGUCUUGCAAAUAGUCGCUGCCAUUAAAUAUUACUACAUUAUGAAAUUAGUAAUAUUCCUCUCCAUGCGAUCAAUUUUGUAGGAAUGACUAAAACAUAAAAUUACAAUUAUCCUUAAAACAAUAACUUAAUUUUAUUGGAUAAAAGGCUUUAUAGAUAAUUCACAUAUAAUAAUAGAAUCUGACAAAUUUACAAAACAUAUAAUCUAAAGAACAUAUUAUUAACUAGUUAAUCACUAGGAAAUUAAUUCAAUUCAGUCUAAUUUGGUCUAAUCCGAUAUAGGUAAACAAACGAAGCCUAGUUGUCACAUAAAAAUUCGGUAUGCGAGUCUAGUGUUUAUUUUGUUUUUACUAUAUUUUGGUUAUUAAUUAAAAAGUUAAUAGUAAUUUCGAAAAUACAAAUUACAAUUUUUUUUGAUAAAGAAUUUAGUUUUACACACACUAAAUAUAAAACCCUAACCCCAAGAAUUUUCCCCACCCCGCCAUUCUCCCCUCUCCCACACUCCCUUCUUUUUCUCUCAAACACGGCCACCGCGAAACUUAACCGUGAAUCGUUUCUCCGCCAGCCCCCUCGCCGGUAUCUAUUCUCCGAGGGGAGUAAACCCUAGAACCAUAGUACUUGAUAACAGUAGAAUAAUUAAAAAAACACACACACACACACACACACAGUGAUGGCGUCGCCAUACGGAAUUCAACUCGCAGUCCAUAUAAUUUCGGCCUUCUACGGUGACCUAUGCUCGGUAAAUUCAUCCUUUACGCCGCUUCUCCGGCCACCAGUUUCAUUACUCUCUCUCUCUCUCGUUCUGUAUUUUAACUGUCGUUUUUUUUCUCUCUCAUCCCCAAAUUGAUUUGAAAUUGCAGAAAGUAUGCGAGUGUUUAAUCCGGAGAGGAACACAAUCCCUAGCUCAAAUAAUCCGAUUCACGGAUCUCAAUCGAGAAAAUGCCAUCAAUUGCUUACGCGUUUUAAUACACCAAAACUGCGUCCAAGCAUUCACCAUCCAGCAAGACGGUAAUUCAUUAUGCAUAAACUUGAUUAAUUUUAUUUUAAUUGGAGUCAUCUUAUUACUUCUUCUAGUCUAGGUAUGCUGUUUUGCUAUAUUUUGUUCUUUGCAAGACAUUGAUUUAUUUAUCCUUCUAAAUUGUAUUAUGAAAAAAAAAAAGAUUUUUUGACGAUGAUUAUUGGAAAAUUGUUCAUCAGAAAGUUUAUCCAAACCAAACAGACCUUACAAUUUGUUAGUGUUUUUACGGUAAUAUUUAUUCGGAUUCUGUAGCUGUUUUCGGCGAGCCACCAAGGAUGGUAACCCAAUACAUGGCUCUAUUUGAUAACGUAAUACACAAGUUGAGGGCUCCUAAAUUUUACGAAAUUGUAUCAGAGGAACUUGGCAAAGAUGUGAGGAGUUUUUUUCCUUUCUCCUCUUUAAAAUUUCAUGCACUUAGAUAUUUGAUGAUGAAGUUGAUUUCCUGAUCAAUUAAUUGGUUCGUUUUUGUUUAGUGUCUAGUAAUAUUUCAGGGGUUAGUUCAACACGGCAGGCUUUCGGUUAAUGAUAUGAUUGCUGGUUAUGCAGAUAUAGAAGGUAUUAUUAAUGAUUUGCUGUCUAUUUUACUUGAAAUUUAAUUAUGCUUUAGCUUGUGUAAACCUGCACCACAUUUCUUCAAGAUAAUGCAGUAUUACAGUUUCGUAAGGAUUACUUAAACAUUAUUGUGAAUAUUAAUGAUUGCUAUGCACACUUCUAGUGAAGAUGGCUGUUAGUGAUUACUGCCUAAGGAUAUCAGAAGCUGAAUUAAAACUUGUAUACACAUUCUUUUUAAUUUUCACAAAAUUUACAUUUGAGACCUCUAUUAAAAAACUCCAAAUUCAGAUCUGAAAUCUUGAUACAACUAGCCAGGCAUGUUUAAACAAUUUGUAACGGUAGAUAAAAUUAUUUGUUGUUUGUUAAAGAUUUUUUUUUUUCUAAUUAAAUUAAGUUUAAGGAUGAAGUUGGACAUUGUCUUAUUUGAAGAAUUAUUUUAGACCACAUUGUGAUAGUUGCCAUAACAUCCUACUUGCCCCGUUGAGGGAUAUUAGUACCUUGCUAUGAAUCUGACAACUCUAAAUCCAGUAUUUUCUACUGUGUUUUUUUUCUCGUGCAGGUAGUUCUGAAAAUGUUGGGCGAGAAAGCUUCACUAAACUUGUGAAUGCCCGAUUUGUUGAACACUGUCCAGCUCCUGACCCACAUCUAGAACCACCUGUUGUUGAUGAAAAGGGAAAGAAGAAAAAGACACAGGUAGUUUUUACCUUCUUAUUGUACAUUUAUAUACUAGUAUGUAAAUUUUGCCACUUCUUUUUUCCCCAAUUGUUGAUGCUUUUAACACUUAGAAUCUAUUUGUUUCGAGAUGAAGUACUGAGAACUGAAAAUCAGUUAUGCAAAUCUUUUAUAUUGGGAGCUUAGAGAAGAAAAAGGAACAGAAUACUCAAAGAAUUUACCUCAUUUUCAUGUAUUUUAUACAGUUUUUUUUCAUUCACCACAUAUUUAACAGUAAUGUGAUCGUGCCCUGCUAGUUUUUUUCGCUAAGCAACAUAGUAUUAGGCAACUCGUGUAUUGGGUAAAUCCUUCACUUAUAAAUCUGUUGGUCGAGCAGUAAUAUAGGACUUUUGAGAGGUUGCUCUGUUUCGAUUUCUCCUAUAUUUAUGGUAAUAGCCAAUAGGAUCUUUGAGCAGUACUGGACCUUUAUGAGGUAGCUUCACAUAUUUGUAUUCUCUAUAACUUUAAUGCGCUCUUUUGAACUUCUUGUUUGUGUCAUUAUCUUUCUAUUCCCCCCAACUAACAGGUAGAAGAACCACCACUAGAUCAACGUGUUUUGGCAGCAGCUGCUCCAAUGGAGUCGAUGAGAUUCUUUCUCGAAAUGGACGAUCACUCUGAAGAGAAGGGUAAUGAAACUACUACUAGCGUGAGAAGCGGGCAGAAGGUUCGGAUGGUUGUUUUAUGAAGUCUCCUUUAAUAUUAUAUAUGAGUUUGUUGAUAUUUUAUUGUUUUGGAUUAAAUAGCGGAAGCAAGAUGAAGGCGAAUUGGAUGCUGAUAAAAAGAAGGAAGUUCUUUGGCGUGUCAACGUGGAAGAAUUUUUGCGCCGCCUGCGGCAUAAGGUUUGUUGUGAUAAGUAUUUGAGUAAUUCCUUUGGUCAACCUCGUUUGAAUGUAUCGUAUUUGAUUAUUUAUUGAUAUACUGUAUUUGAUGUUUCUUUUUCUUGGGACCUGUUAUAGGCUUGUAUCGCACAUGUCAAAUCGAAGAUUAACGAAGAAGCUGCCAUUGUGCUGAGUGCAAUGUUGGAGUUAAGUAAACAAUCAGAGAGUGGACUGAAAGCUGAAAAAUCUGGUAUUGACUCUUUUUUUAAUACCUAAAUUCAAUUUGAGGUCACAUUUUAUACAUCUCCAUUCACUGUAUAUAAGUUCUCUGAAUUGAAGGGCGUGGUACAUUGAUUAUGUAGUUUAUGAGAAAAGUUAAGGAUGCCUGGUAAUGAUAAAUUAAGUACAAUAUAGAUAUUCAAUAGCCAAAUAACUGAAGAUAAGCAAAAAUAUUACUCUUGGAGGUCCGUUUGUCAAUGUCGAAUUUAAAAUCCUUUUUGUUCUUCCUAACAAUCAACUUUCAUGGCACUUUUCAUCACUCGUGUGACUUACGAUGUAUUUUUUUUUGCAGAAUAUCUUUCCAUAAAUGCUAUAUACGAUGAGGUGAUAAAAAAAGAGGGUGGUCUUGGCAUGGACUUUGAACGUGUCAGAUCUUUGCUCGACCAGCUUGGUUGUGAAACACUCUCCACAGGAAUGGAUGAAAGUUACUGCAUCGGUACAAAUUCUCUUCAUUCUAAUAUUUCAAUUCAAUGGUCAAAUGUUAUUUAUUAAUCCAAAAUCCGAAAAUUUGUUGUAUGCAUCGAGUGUCUAAUCCGCACCUUUUUUCACCUUUCCCCGUCUACAGAUAUAAAGGAAAUCAUUGAAUUAUCUCAAAAUGAAGAAGUUAGUAAAUUUUCUUUAAUUCUCAAUUCCCCCCGCCCCCCCGGUUAAGAAGUUUAUGCAUGCAGCAUCUUAUGGUAUUUGAAUCUAGGUGGAGUCUUUGGUAAUGAGAAGAUAUGGGCCGGAGGCCUACAGGAUAUACAGGUUACUUUCCAAAGCUGGUCGUCUUAUGGAAACUGAAAAGGUAAUCGAAACACUGUAAUGAUAUAUUUGUUGCCGUACAUGUUAUAUUUUGUAUUAAAUUAUUUAAAUAUAAAUAAUAGCCACUUAUUUCUGUUCGAAUAUUCCGGUAUACUUUUAAUUUCAUAGAGCCUAAACAUAUAACUUUGAACAGUUAUCAUCUGGUGCCGAUAACGACUUGUAAUAAGAAAUUUUGGCUUAGAAGUGAAAUAUUUACGGAAGGGCCUUUUUUUUUUGUUUUUUGGGGAGAAAAGAAGUUCAUCUAUUUAAGUUUUGUUAUUUGCAGAGUCCCUGAUACACCUUUGUGUAUGUUAUGAGUAUAUUUCGAUUAACUUUAUCUUUAAGUAUGUGUGUGUGCACAUUUGGGAUCGGAGACUUCAAUUUAUUUAUUCUCGUACAGAUUUCAGACAGUACAUUCGUUGAAAAGAAAGCUACAAUCGCGAUUCUGUACAAGCUUUGGAAAGAUGACUUCUUGCAAAUGGAGGUAAAUAGAACCCGAACAUCUAUAUUCGUUUGGGCUUUUAAGCACAUAUCGAAGUAUUGGUUAGGAACUCAUUCUCAUUAAGCGAAAGAACUCGGAUUAAAAAAAAAAAAUUUAUUGCAGCAUGUGAAGACGAGUACAGCAAAACAGUCGGACUUUCGGCUAUGGACAAUAAACAAAGAGCAGCUUCAGAAACAAGUUUUAAAUGAAAUGUACCACGCCGCUCUAAAUUUGAAACUCAGAAUCGCACAUGAGAAAGAUCAAGCGAAAGAGGUAAUUUUAAGAAAGUGUAGAAAAUCAAAUUUCAGUGAUAGAAUUUUCGAUUAUGAUUUUGAGUUUUUUUUUUUAAAUAAACCUUUUCAUCUUGUUAUUCCUCAGGUUAUUAAAUUGCCUAAAGACAAGCUCGUUGGGGAAUCGAAUACUAAAUAUGUUCGUUGGGCCAAUGUCACGAGGAUUUUGGAAUCUUGCUUGAUGGAUUUAGACGAUGCAAUCAUGUUAUUUCAUCAUUUCUAAAUACUAUAAUUAUUAUUAUUAUUAUUAUCCCAUUUUUGAGAUUACUUUUCUAUUUUGUUCAUUGCACAAGUUUUGACUUAAGUAGAAGUUCUCGACUAAACAAUAGCUCGUGUUUUAAUGCAGCAUUNNNNNNNNNNNNNNNNNNNNNNNNNNNNNNNNNNNNNNNNNNNNNNNNNNNNNNNNNNNNNNNNNNNNNNNNNNNNNNNNNNNNNNNNNNNNNNNNNNNNNNNNNNNNNNNNNNNNNNNNNNNNNNNNNNNNNNNNNNNNNNNNNNNNNNNNNNNNNNNNNNNNNNNNNNNNNNNNNNNNNNNNNNNNNNNNNNNNNNNNNNNNNNNNNNNNNNNNNNNNNNNNNNNNNNNNNNNNNNNNNNNNNNNNNNNNNNNNNNNNNNNNNNNNNNNNNNNNNNNNNNNNNNNNNNNNNNNNNNNNNNNNNNNNNNNNNNNNNNNNNNNNNNNNNNNNNNNNNNNNNNNNNNNNNNNNNNNNNNNNNNNNNNNNNNNNNNNNNNNNNNNNNNNNNNNNNNNNNNNNNNNNNNNNNNNNNNNNNNNNNNNNNNNNNNNNNNNNNNNNNNNNNNNNNNNNNNNNNNNNNNNNNNNNNNNNNNNNNNNNNNNNNNNNNNNNNNNNNNNNNNNNNNNNNNNNNNNNNNNNNNNNNNNNNNNNNNNNNNNNNNNNNNNNNNNNNNNNNNNNNNNNNNNNNNNNNNNNNNNNNNNNNNNNNNNNNNNNNNNNNNNNNNNNNNNNNNNNNNNNNNNNNNNNNNNNNNNNNNNNNNNNNNNNNNNNNNNNNNNNNNNNNNNNNNNNNNNNNNNNNNNNNNNNNNNNNNNNNNNNNNNNNNNNNNNNNNNNNNNNNNNNNNNNNNNNNNNNNNNNNNNNNNNNNNNNNNNNNNNNNNNNNNNNNNNNNNNNNNNNNNNNNNNNNNNNNNNNNNNNNNNNNNNNNNNNNNNNNNNNNNNNNNNNNNNNNNNNNNNNNNNNNNNNNNNNNNNNNNNNNNNNNNNNNNNNNNNNNNNNNNNNNNNNNNNNNNNNNNNNNNNNNNNNNNNNNNNNNNNNNNNNNNNNNNNNNNNNNNNNNNNNNNNNNNNNNNNNNNNNNNNNNNNNNNNNNNNNNNNNNNNNNNNNNNNNNNNNNNNNNNNNNNNNNNNNNNNNNNNNNNNNNNNNNNNNNNNNNNNNNNNNNNNNNNNNNNNNNNNNNNNNNNNNNNNNNNNNNNNNNNNNNNNNNNNNNNNNNNNNNNNNNNNNNNNNNNNNNNNNNNNNNNNNNNNNNNNNNNNNNNNNNNNNNNNNNNNNNNNNNNNNNNNNNNNNNNNNNNNNNNNNNNNNNNNNNNNNNNNNNNNNNNNNNNNNNNNNNNNNNNNNNNNNNNNNNNNNNNNNNNNNNNNNNNNNNNNNNNNNNNNNNNNNNNNNNNNNNNNNNNNNNNNNNNNNNNNNNNNNNNNNNNNNNNNNNNNNNNNNNNNNNNNNNNNNNNNNNNNNNNNNNNNNNNNNNNNNNNNNNNNNNNNNNNNNNNNNNNNNNNNNNNNNNNNNNNNNNNNNNNNNNNNNNNNNNNNNNNNNNNNNNNNNNNNNNNNNNNNNNNNNNNNNNNNNNNNNNNNNNNNNNNNNNNNNNNNNNNNNNNNNNNNNNNNNNNNNNNNNNNNNNNNNNNNNNNNNNNNNNNNNNNNNNNNNNNNNNNNNNNNNNNNNNNNNNNNNNNNNNNNNNNNNNNNNNNNNNNNNNNNNNNNNNNNNNNNNNNNNNNNNNNNNNNNNNNNNNNNNNNNNNNNNNNNNNNNNNNNNNNNNNNNNNNNNNNNNNNNNNNNNNNNNNNNNNNNNNNNNNNNNNNNNNNNNNNNNNNNNNNNNNNNNNNNNNNNNNNNNNNNNNNNNNNNNNNNNNNNNNNNNNNNNNNNNNNNNNNNNNNNNNNNNNNNNNNNNNNNNNNNNNNNNNNNNNNNNNNNNNNNNNNNNNNNNNNNNNNNNNNNNNNNNNNNNNNNNNNNNNNNNNNNNNNNNNNNNNNNNNNNNNNNNNNNNNNNNNNNNNNNNNNNNNNNNNNNNNNNNNNNNNNNNNNNNNNNNNNNNNNNNNNNNNNNNNNNNNNNNNNNNNNNNNNNNNNNNNNNNNNNNNNNNNNNNNNNNNNNNNNNNNNNNNNNNNNNNNNNNNNNNNNNNNNNNNNNNNNNNNNNNNNNNNNNNNNNNNNNNNNNNNNNNNNNNNNNNNNNNNNNNNNNNNNNNNNNNNNNNNNNNNNNNNNNNNNNNNNNNNNNNNNNNNNNNNNNNNNNNNNNNNNNNNNNNNNNNNNNNNNNNNNNNNNNNNNNNNNNNNNNNNNNNNNNNNNNNNNNNNNNNNNNNNNNNNNNNNNNNNNNNNNNNNNNNNNNNNNNNNNNNNNNNNNNNNNNNNNNNNNNNNNNNNNNNNNNNNNNNNNNNNNNNNNNNNNNNNNNNNNNNNNNNNNNNNNNNNNNNNNNNNNNNNNNNNNNNNNNNNNNNNNNNNNNNNNNNNNNNNNNNNNNNNNNNNNNNNNNNNNNNNNNNNNNNNNNNNNNNNNNNNNNNNNNNNNNNNNNNNNNNNNNNNNNNNNNNNNNNNNNNNNNNNNNNNNNNNNNNNNNNNNNNNNNNNNCUAGAGAUCCCUAAGCUCCACAAUUGUAAAUACUUCUUACAGUUAACUUUGGAGUUAUCAAUUUCUGUUAAUCCAAUUAAUUAUUAUUGUGUUACAUUCGCGAGUUACUCAUGUAAUUGUUUCCGGUAAAACUUGUUGUACUUGCUUCCGCCGUGUUUAAACCAACGGGUAAUGGAUAUCAAUCAUGAUAAGAAAACCUGUACAAAUUACUUCAAGAAAUUAUAUUUUUGUUCCAUGCCUGCAUAGAUGUGGUGAUAAGUUGGUACAAGAAGUUAUAUUGUUUGAUUUUUUUUUCCCCAAAAUUGAAGAAAGUUGGAACUUUAGUAAUCUUUAUAUAUAAAAGAAAGGUUUGCCCAAAACCCUAAAAGUAGUUUUUUAUAGAACACGUUUCGGGUUUUUUUUUAAUUAUUUUCUUUUUCUUUCUUUCUUCUUCCUUUUUUCCCCUUCCCCAUUAAACACGGUCAAUUUUUUUUUUAAAUAUUUUUAUUAUUAAAUAUUUUUUUUUCUUUUUUUUCUUCUUUUUUUUUCUUCCAACACUAAAUUUUCUCUCUUUUUUUAUAGGACACGUUUUUUAAAUUAUUUUAUUUUUCUUUUUCUAGUUUUUUUUCCAUUCUCCACUAAACACGAUCAAAUUUGAAUUUUUUUUAUACGUUUGUUUUUUCUUUUUAAUUAUUUUCUUUUUUUUUUUCUUCCCUACCAACACUAACUUCUCUCUCCCUUUUUAUAGCUACGUAUGCGUAUUAAGUUUUAUUGUAAAAUAGAUAUAUAGAUUAUGAUUGCAAUUAGUGAAAUUUUUACAUUUUCGGUGUUCCAUUGUUUUGCUAUUGUACAUUUCAUAUAUGUUUACUAAUUUCUAAUUUUGCUUAUUUUAUAUUUUUUUUCAAAAUCCGCCCAUGCAACGCACGAGACAAAAUACUAGUUUAAUUAAAAGCUACCCGGACGGACAAAUUGAAGUUGUCACCCCUACUACCAAAACUUCAGUUUUAUGCGAUUGAGAUGAUUUUUGACUAACCUUAGAAGCUGUUAAAAAGAGCUUAUAAGAUGUUUAAAAGCGUAUAAGCUCUUUCAAAGUGUUUCGUAAAAAUUCUAAAAACAAUUUAGCUAGUAGUGAGCGAAUAAGAUUUUUUUUUAAAGUACAUUUACCCGACCAUUUUAUGUAAAAUCUUAUAAUGAGCAAAAAAUAUCUUUUAUCCGAUCUUUUUAUUUAAGAUUUUAUAAUGAGAAAAAAUAGUUUACAAGAUCAUUCUCGAAACACUUUAAAAAUUAGUAAUUAUAAAAAUAAAACUAACAACUUAUCCACUCUAAAAAUAGCUUAUGGUAUAGAAGAGCUUAUCAGUUUUAAAAUAAAUAAGCCAAACAAGCCUAGUCAAGUAAGUUAGAACACCUAUUGGAUUUUUACCAUUAAGAAAAAAUCAAUUGGACUUCCACACAAAAACAAUCAAUUUUCCAUCAUUAGACAUUCAUGCCUUUGACAAAAAGUUGUGUUACUUUCGUGCGUAAUAUUAUAACAAAUAGGAUAAAUUACAAUCACCUCCAUAGAUAAGCUUUAUUUACAAAGAAACCCCUAAAUUUUGAAAAAUUACAUCAAACCCUGUAUCGCUUGAAAAUUUCUUAUAUCCAUCCUUUAAAAUGUGUGUUAAUGUAAGAAAUCUACAAAUUACAGGGGUUGAUGCAAUUAUGAGAAAAUGAAGAAUUUUUCAUAAAUAGAUCUUAAAUCAGGGGACGGUUGUAAUUUACCGUGGGCUGAAUUAAUUCAUAAAUUUCACAAUUUGUUCCAAUUAAGACAAUGUUUAGUCCAAAACAGUCCAAUAAAAAACGAGUAAUAGAGGAGACAAAUUUAAUUAAUAAUUAAUUACAGUACCAACUGGCAAUCUGGCACUACUUAGAAAACUGUCUCUCUGCUCCUAAUUUAAUUCCCAUCACACGCAACCUUCACAAAAAUACCCACAAAUAUACAAAUUAAUACUAUUAAAUUAAUAAAUUAAAUAAAUAAAUAAUAAAUAAAGAAAUAAAAGAAACAGAAAUAUGAACGUGCUGUGUUUCCUUGGACUUUCUACACUCCUCCAGCAAAGAAUCAAAUCCUCCAUUGCUGAGAUCUGUUACCACUACUUUCUCUCUCUAAAACUUCCUCUCUUUCUCUCUCUCUCUCUCUCUCUAAAACUUCUCUUUCUUUCUAUACACACAUAAAUACAUACACACACACACACACAUAUAUAUAUAUAUAGAUAGAUAUAUAUAUAUCAAUCUGAUUCUGCAUUCAAUUUUUCGAAAUCGAAAUUCGAAGCAGACAAAUUGAAAAAAAUAAAAAUGGCGACGCAUCACUCGAAGACCGAUUCGGAGGUGACGAGCCUGGCGCCGUCGUCGCCGAACCGGGCGGUGUACUACGUGCAGAGUCCGUCGAGGGACUCUCACGACGGCGAGAAGACGACGAACUCGUUCCACUCGACGCCGGUACUCAGCCCCAUGGGCUCACCGGGCCGCCACUCGCGCGACUCGUCCUCGACUCGGUACUCCGGUUCGCUGAAACCCGGUUCGCAGAAAUCGAGCAACGGAUCCCGGCGCCACCACCACCACCACCACAACAACAGGAAGGCGGAGAAGCAGUGGAAGGAGUUCGACGCCAUAGAGGAGGAGGGCCUCCUCGACGACGGCGGCGCCCGCCGCGGCUUCCCGCGGCGGUGCUACUUUCCGGCGUUUGUCGUCGGCUUCUUCGUGCUGUUCUCUUUCUUUGCUCUGAUCCUGUGGGGCGCCAGUAAAAAUCAGAAGCCUGUCGUCACCAUGAAGGUACUCAUACAUACAUAUAUACAUAUACAUAUAUUAGGGUAAAUUACGAAAAAUACCCUGAACUUAGGCUAAAUAAUGAAAACACCCCACAUAUUUGUAAUAACCAAAAUACCCCUUUGAUUGACGACUGUUGAUUGAGUUUUUUACCGGAAAAUGUGUACAGAGUCUAUUAUACUAUUCACUGGAAUAAAAGAUAUCCGUGAAAAGUCACAGUAUAAAGGGUUAGUGUAAGACAAAAAACAAACCUCAUGGGGUCUUUGGUAAUUACCUAUAGGUGGAGGCGGUUUUUGUAAUUUAAUCUAAGUUUAGGGAGAUUUUCAUAAUUUACGCAUAUAUGUAUACAUACAUGAUACAUAUAUGCAAUUUUGUGUGAAUCUGUUCUAAUUGAUGGAUUCAUUGCUUGAUCAAUUCAAAAGUUUCUUAAUGUGUCUGCAUAUUUUUUCAUUCAGAUUAAUCUGUGGUAAUUAAUAAUUAGUGGAGACUUAUUUUGCUUAAUUAACAUUAACCAAUUUUUAUUAUUAUUUAAUUAAUUUAUAUAUUUGAAGAUCUUGUUUUGUUAUAUUAAUCAAGUCAACUAAUCACAUAGCGACAUACUCUAUUAUUUAGUGACUGUAGGGGUAAAUGGUAAUUUCACAUGUUUGACUUAUUAAUUUCACAAUUAAUAAACUAUUGUACUACUAGUUCGUAAACAAUGAACAAUUAAAUAAAUAAUAAAUAGAUGUUGGCAAUUUUUAAUUAGCGUUUACCAAGAUCGAUAGCUGUUAAACAAAAGUCAUAGGUAAUAAUAAAUAAUAAUUACAUAAAUAAUUUAUUAUUAUUAAUAUUUAUUUAUUUUUGUGCCAUAUAUUUCAACAAUUUGUCUUAUAUAUAUAUAUAUAUAUAUAUAUAAUAAAAUAUAAUAUAUUGUGCAGAGUAUAUUAUUCGACAGAUUUGUGAUACAAGCAGGCACAGAUUCAUCUGGAGUAGCUACAGUGAUGGUGACUAUGAAUUCAACGGUCAAGAUGUCUUUCCGAAAUAAGGGUACAUUUUUUGGAGUCCACGUCACAUCUUCACCGUUCGAUCUUUCUUUCACCGACCUCACACUAGCCACCGGUUCAGUAAGCAUACCAAUUCAUAAUUUCAUCCUCAUUUCUUCAAUUAUGUUUUUUUUCCCAUACAUAAUUUUGCAAUUUUUCCUUGGGUAAAUUACGACUAACCCCUCUGAGGUUAGAAAAAAUUACGAAAAAAACUUUAUUAUUUGAGUAAUUACAACUUUUCCUUUAACUAUGUAUUUUCUUAUGAAAACACCCCUAAUUCAGUUGGUAAAUUUGACACUCUAGAUGCUGAUGUAUACGAAGUAAUUGUAAUUAUCCAAGCAUAAGAGGUUUUUUCGUAAUUUAACUUUAACUUAGGGUGACAUUUUAUCCAUAGUGUUGUUAUUUUAAGAGUAGAAAACAGUGUAGUAUUGUCGGCCAUUUAGAAAAACUUUAUAGACUUGAUUUUCGGUUGGAAAAAUCUUAUUUGACAAAAUUACCUUCUUAUGGCUUUUCAUUUUGUCUUUAUUACUUCAUUAAUUUGUCAUUAAUAUUAGGAUAAAGUUGGAGGAAGAAAAAUAAUUUGUCCUACACCGAAAUUCUAAAGCGACACUUAAUAUAAGAAAAAUAAAAUUAUAUUUCAAGAGACCUAAAACGGAUAGAGUAACUCAUACUUCAGAUAAUAUUGCACCUCGUAGUGCAAUAUACACCACUUAAUCGAUAGCAAAUCAAAAUACUAGAUUGAGACUCUAAUUUUAAAAUGUGCAGUUAAACCUUUUAUAAAUUAAUUCCGUCCGAAUCAGUAAAAUUCCAUUAAUUUAACAAAAUAUUAAAUUAUCGAACUAAUAAUUUAGCAUUUUUAACCGAGUUUGGACCGAAAAAAAGUAUAAUUGAAACGAUGUUAUUAAUCUAUUGAUGUUCUACUGUAAAUCAAAAUUGUUCAUUUGUGGAUUGAUUGAGUAAUGAAUUAAUUAUUUGCAAUAUUUAUUUUUGCAGGUGGAAAAGUUUUAUACAUCAAGAAAGAGCCAGAAAACCGUGACGGUGGUGUUAAUAGGAGACAACAUCCCACUGUACGGCGGCGGUGCUGACUUGAGCAGCCAAGGUGGGAAACCGGUUAAACCGGUUGCUUUGAAUUUGACUUUAACGGUUCGGGCCAGAGCUUAUAUAAUGGGCCGGUUGGUAAAGCCCAAAUUCCAAAAUGGAGUCCAAUGCUCGGUUGUUUUGGACCCCAAGAAAAUGAAUGAGCUUGUUCCUUUGAACAAUUGCACCUACAAUAAUUAAAAAUUAAUUUUUAUUUCAAAAAAGAAAAGAGAGGGAAAAUGAAAAUAUUUAUUUAUAUGUUGAGCGAUGAGAAGAACGAGGAAGAGGCGAACGGAAGAAAAAUGUUUGGUGGAUCGGAAACGAGGAGGAGAAUUGGGAGAUGAUUCUUCGAAAUUUUUCUUUUAUUACAAUAUUUAUUUUUAAUUUUUUUUUUCUACUUGUGCCUAGUUAAAUGUUGUAAUAAUUUGUGACAAGAGUAGUGUUAUAUGUGAUUCAUCAAUCUUCUUUGCUCAUCUUUGGUAAGCUUUUGGGCUUCCGUUUUUAUUUUAUUUUGGGAAAAGAUGUUUUGAGAGAAGAAUUUGAAAAUAAAAUAAAGUUUGUUUGCGUUUUGAGAGGAGACAAUUUGUAUUGCAGCAAGUCAAAUCAUGUCUUAAAUGUGCUGAAAAAAGUUAUUUUUUAAGAAGAAUUUGAAAGAUAAAGUGAUUUUGAUUUGUAUUUUAAUGAAGACAAUUUUCACUGUAGCAGUCAAAUCAUGUUUGUUAGAGCGAGAAAUAUUUGAAUUGUUUUUGGGAAAUUUUUUCGAAAAUAUUUUAGAAAGAUAAUUUUUAUUUUUGGAAAAUAGUGAAAAGAAUUUGAAAAGCUAACCAAACAUAGGUAUUUUAUAAAGAGAUCUAUUUUUUUUUUUUGAAUAUUAACAUAUUUUUUUACUUUAUAUAUAUAUAUACAUGGUAAAUCAUGCCUUAUUCUAACGGGAUAUUAAUCGCUUAGUCUAAAUGGUAUUCGAACAUCUUCGACAAUGGGAUUUGGUGAGAGGUCGAGGUUUUGAAUGUGUCUGUUGCGCUAUAAGACCACCUCAUAAGACCAAUUUAAAAGUAUAUUUGACGAAAUAUUAUUUCCUAUCUAACUCCGUUUUAUCAAGACAUUGAAAAGCAUAAUGUAAAAACAAACUCACAAUCAAAAUCUUUUUCCAAACAUAGAUAUUCUAAUUUGGCUGAUUAUAGUCAGUUUUCACACCUUCAGGCUUCAACUUGUAAAAAUAUAUAUGAAUCUAUAGACGAUUUCCCAUUUAGACUCAAUUUCCCCUUUUUGUAAUGAAAGAAUUUGCAACAAAGCAUAUAAGUGUACUCGAUGAAUCUCCACUCUCGAUCGCGAGAGAGAUGUAAACUACACUAGGGUAACCAUGUGCGGUGAACUCGACCUAGAAAACAUUGGCUAGAAAAUUCGAACUUAGGUCAAUUGACAUCAUGCUCUCUUGAUCCUUUCGAACUAGGUCAAUCCUUGCCAAUGGGUUCGCUCGUGAGCAUUUGGAAUUCCAUCAUUAGGCAAUCUCCAAGGCGUCGACCUCCUCAGAUAACAUAAUAGAUCCAAUGUACGCGGCUAAGGCAGGUAUCUCGGUAGAUAGCUUUGAUUUACAUCCUACAUUAAGCUAUUGUAAAAUAUAGUCUUAGCCUGGGUUUGGCAGCAAUUGUCCACGUAGUGGAGGUCCGGGUAUGGGCGGUCCACAAUCGAAUGCCGUGGGCGCUUGUGUGUGUUGAAUGCACUAUAAGGCUAGGGUUUGCGUCUUUCCUAACACCAAUUGGAUUUAGGACAACUGGUAGCUGUUGAGUGUAGAUUUUACGCUCAAUACGUUUACUUUACGUGGAUCUUUUGUUGAGAUUUAAUUAUAUUUGUGCUUUAAUUGCUUGAUUUUGUGUUUUGUAGGUGAAAACAAGAAUAAGGUGUCCAUGAAGGAAAAAAGAUCAAAAAGAAAGGAAAAAGUUGCAAAUAAGGAAAUAAAUCAAAUUGGAAGAAGGAAUCUCGCCACAGUUUUGACAGUAUCCACCAUUUCGAGCAUAUAUCUCUCAUACAAACUCCAAAUCAGCUGAUUUUGGCGGCAUUGGAAAGCUAAUUUCAAGGGCUACAAUUCUUAUUCACGCAACAUUCCCAAAUUCGGACUCCAACAUGGCGAAAAUCGAAGAACAAAUCCUGAUGGGGGAAAGUGGCGGAAAUUGAUUCCUAUUACGUUUUCACUACUUCCUUAUCAAGAAAAGCCUAUAAAAGCAACAAGUCUCCACACCAUAAGCACGAAAAUUUUACACCACAAUACGCGAGGAACGAAGAUCAACGAAGACUCAAGCAUAGUUUUUCUUAUUUAAUUUAUUUUCUUUAUCAUAAGAAUCACGAGUAGCUAAGUCUUUAGUUUCUAGGAUUUUAUUUUGAACCCUAUGUGGGAUUUAUGAACCAUUUUCUAUGAUUUUAUGCAAGUUUUAAUUCCGGAUUAUUUCUUUUACUUGUUUUAUUAAGUUCAUGAAACUGGCCACUUUAUGCGCUUUUAUAAUAUUGUUAAUCACAUAAAUCGGAAGAUCGGAUUAAUAAUUAGAACUGUGGUAGAAGAGCCUUUUGUGGUAUUAACAUAGGAAUAUAGUUAAUCUCUUAGGUAGGCAUUAUUGAGAUUUGUGCUUAAUGUUGUGUUCUAGAAUUAAUUGCGUAGUAAUACAGUAAUUGAAUUUAGAGUAUUAGAAUCGUAAUACACGCGGAAGCGGGUUAUGAUUAAUUUAACAUCUCAGGUUAAUAAUCCGGGUUAAUUGCUUGAAUAAUUGAAGGAAUUGGGGAAAUAAUAAUCACAUAGGGGGAAGAAUAAAAUCCUAGGCUAGUUUACUUUGAUUAAAUCUUCGUUUUAAAUCGCUUUCUUGUUUUUUGCUUGCCUUUUAAUUUAGUUUAAUUUAGUUAAUUCUCUCCGAAUUCGACCGUGUAGGGUGGGCUUGAUAAUAAUUGCUAGGAUUUAGCGUCUAGGAUGAAAUAAUUAAAUAUUCUCUGUGGGAUCGAUAUCUGGACUUAAUUGUCCACUUUAUUACUUGUACGAUACGUGCACUUGCGUGUAGGUAUUACCACCAACAAGUUUUUGGCGCCGUUGCCCGGGAAUAUUUUAAUUAUUUAUUUUAUUCUAGCUCUAAAUUUGAACAAUUUUCACGAUUCACCCAAAUUAAUUUUUAUUUUAUUUUAUUUUAUUUUUUUCGUUUUAAUUUAUUUUAAUAUUUUUUUUCUUUAUUUAUAUGUCAGGUUACAAUUCUCACGAGUCCACUUUAUUACUUGUUUGCGAUACGUGCACUUGCGUGUUGGUAUUUAGCACCCAACAACUUGUAGCGUUUGAGGUCCUACAGAUAGCUAUCUUAGAUGAGUAUAUAUCGAAUGCUUUUACCAAAAAUCGACGUCUCCCGCCUAAUUUGAACGACGCGGGUGCAAGUUUCGGCGACUUCCAUUAAACUAAAGUUGAGCCCCAAGUACGCUCCUUGCAUCUGAUUUACCAAAAUAAGUUUGAAACAUAAAAGUAACGACUCAAAUAUCAUCACAUCUUAUACUUUAUUUUUUAUUAUUUAUUACUUUAGCAUUCUAAUAAUGCAUAAAUUAUUUAAUGAACAAUGUUAUGCUUAAUAUAUAUAUAUAUAUAUAUAUAUAUAACCUGCGCAUGAGGUAACUUUUUGUUGGCGCCAGAUUUCUGUUAGUGAAGAAGAAAUCCGGCAUACGUGGUAAUUAAACAUUGGCAAAGAUUUGUUUUCCAUGUAUAUUUUGGAAUUAAUUAGAGUCCUAGUCUUGUUAUAUUGUUAUUAGGACUUAGAUUUAUUUCCAUGUAUUAUAUUCUAGUUAGGUAUCUUUUGUACUUAUCUAGAAUAAAAGUAGAAAUCGACUAGGAUUCUAUUACCUAGUUAAAUCGAUUUCUUAGGGCCCACGUUAGGUUUAUGGGUGGUGAUUUCGUGCCUAUAUAAAACACUCAACAUCAUAUGAGUCCCAUGGAGCUUUAAUAAGAAAAAUCCCAGCAUAAAGGCUUUGAAGGGUGCAGCCCGCGCACAUCAGGUGUGGCAACAGGACGGGUUUCUUCUACCAGGCUAUAGAGAAGAUCGACGUUUCGGGAAAAGUGCUUAAAAGAUCUCGGGAGAGGUCAAUCCGCCGUUUGAAAAGUGCUUAAAAGAUCUCGGGAGAGGUCAAUCCGCCGUUUGAAAGGAGUUCAACAUUGGAGGAAGUCCAAGAGUGCGGAUGAAGGAAUUGCUUUGAUUAUCAACAAGUUCGAGUCGUAUGCAAGAACGGCAUAUUACAUAAAGAGGGAGUCUUUAGUGUUUUAUUAAGUCCUAUUAAUGUACACUUAAAUCUGAACUAGUUUUGCAAGUCCUCGUGGAUGUAGGGUACAUUUGUAUCCGAACCACAUUAAAUUCUUGUGUUCUUUAUUCUGCUUUUAGUAGGUUUAUUACUGUGAUAACACAAGAAUUCUGUUACCACACCUAAUGUCGUAACAUGUAAUCUGUCUCAACAGAUGAGUAGAUUUUCAUAGGCAUUUAAAAUCAACACUUUUCCUUCGGGAUAGAACCCCGUAAAGAGGGCAGAGUCCAUGUUGACCGGACUAUAAUGGGACUGGCUGUGUGCGGUCACGGACAAAGCUUAUGAUUGAUCGAGCUAUAACGGGAUCGCUGUGUGCGGUCACGGACAAAGUUCAUAACGAACAAUAACGGGACCGGCUGUGUGCUGUAUUACAUAAUUUGGAAAUUAUCUUGAUCCCUAUCGUUUCAUAAGUUGUUUGAUAUAUUUUUGUAAGUAGCGAGAGACGUAAACCACACUAGCCUAACCAUAUAUAACACGUUUCACCUAACGAUCGUUUCAUACGUUGUUCGAACUUAUGUCAAUUGAUACAUGCUCGCUUGCUCCAGCCGCUAGGGCAUCCCUUGCGGGAUUUUCUUCGAUUGUCAAUUCGAUGGUUAUUGCUAAUACCAUGUUGCAGAUAGCAGCAAAACCAAGAAUCUUCAUAAAAUCAGACAAUUUGCAAUUGGGCAAAAAAUAUCAACUCCCACUUGCCUAACAAAUCCAAUUUAAUUUUGCAACUCUUAUUUUCUCAAGAAAAAUUAAAUAACAUAAUAAUUGAAUGGAAAUAAUUGUCAAUAGAUUCAUCUUUUUCUUCUUCAUAUGUACAGUCUACAUUAUGGGUCUAACAAAUUUCAAUCCCUAAAUUAAAAUUAAAAAAAAAAAGUUUCUCUAGUGAUCAAAAUUGACCAAAGUAUUACUUCCUUCACCUAACGGUGACCCAAUCAACCGAAACAGACCAAUCAGGGCUUUGAUAGCUAACUAGCUGCCGCAGCCUCUCCGCCGGCGAAACAGAUCCGGCGGAAUAUUCCGGCGGGGGCAAAGAGGUAAUUGAACAUCCAACAGAUGACACCCAAUCCGAGAAAUCAAAUGGGCUCCUUGGAGAGGUUGUGUUCUCCUUCACCGCCGAAAUCACGAAAUCCUGACCGUCGAUGAAUGGAUGAUCUAAGAGCAUCUCAGCCGUCCAUCUUUUAAGUGGAUCUUUAAUAAAACAUCUCCCGAGAAAAUCUUUUCCUUCGUCCGAUAAAUCUCCGGGAAUCUCCGGCACUUCUCCGCCGACGCCGAUCUUCAUCAGCAAACUCGCCACGUCGGAGCACCGCCACGCCGGAGCGCCGGAUAACAUCUCCACCACCGCACAACCCACCGCCCAAAUAUCCACCGCGGGGCCCUGAUCGCCUCCGGCGACCAUCUCCGGCGACAUGUACAUCGGCGUGCCCCUCAAUUCGCAGCCGGAAUAUUCCCCUCCUCCGAAGACCCGCUUCGCCAACCCGAAAUCCGCUAUUUUUACGGCGCCGUUUUCGCCCAAGAGAAUGUUCUGAAGCUUGAUAUCGCAGUGGACGUAUCCAACUUCGUGAAUGUAGUUCACCCCUCUGAGCAGAGCUUUAGUGUACCGCCGGACUUCGGAUUCCGGCAACCGUGAACCGCCGGAGCUCUUGAGCUUGUCCGCCAGGGAACCGCCGGAGGCGUAUUCCAGCAGGAUAUUGUACAAUUGCUCGCCGUUCUCGUAAGAAAUUCUCUCUCCGAAACACCGGAUGAUCUCCGGGCAGUUUUGGAGAUCAUCCAGUAUUAAUUUUUCGUUCGCGAGAGAUGAAGAGUGAGAAAAACCACACGACUUCGCCGCCAUUAACGGAGGUAAACCAGAACUCUGGUUUGUCGGCGCCGCCAAACUCACCGUCGCGAAACUACCGUGACCCAGUUUCUCGCCUCGAACCCAAUCCAUAUUUCAAAAUUAAAUCCAAAAAAUAAAAAAAUAAAAACAGAUUUUUUCAGAACCCUUUUUUUUUUUUUUUUUUUGACUCGGGGUUUACUGGUUUUCAAGAAAUAAUGUGGAAAAUAGUCUCUCUCUCUCUCUCUCUCUCUCUCUCUCUAUAUAUAUAUAUAUAUAUAUAUAUAUAUUUUUAAGUGUGUAUAUAUAGGUUAGGCAAACGUGUUGAAACGUUUUGUUUAUUAAGAAUAAAAAAAAAAAGCACGUGGUAACUAGUAAUGAAGGAUACUCGCAUGAACCAGAAAUAGAAACGUGUUUUUAUAUUGUCUGAAGAAAUCGUUGUAUUAGAUUUUUGUCUUUUUCUAUUUUUUUUAUUAUAUUUUAUUUUAAAUUUUGCAAAAUUAAAAGCAUACAAUAUUUCUUUUCAUUGUAAUUUUCUCUGGGAUGACUUUUUUUAGAGUCCUCUAAUUAAAAAAAAAAAAAAAAAAACACAUGUUAUAUGUAUAUUAAAGGCUAAUAUUAUGUUUGUGAAACGACGACUUUUUCUAUUUGACUUUCUAUGCAUUAGAUUUGUGAGUAAUUAUUACUAUUUGAUGAAAAUAGUUAAUAGUAAAUAAUGAGAAAGAAGCAAAUGGAUAUAAAUUUAUUUGUAAUUUUGUAAGUCAAGUCCAAUAGUGUGGACAAGAUUUUUCUCAACCAAAAAUCUAAGUAGCUUCUUGGUAUUGAAUUAGUCAUGAUUUAUUGAAUUAAUUUAGAAAAUAGUUGAAAAUGGAGAGUCAAACCAAAGACUUAUGCAUGGGAAUACAAUUUGCCUAUUUUUAUUUUAUUUUUAAUUAAGUAAAUAAGUAAUACAACUACUAAUUGUGUGCUUGACUAGGCUUAUAAUAAGUUGUUAAAAAGAGCUUAUAAGCUAAAGUGUUUAGAGGAAUGGUUUAUUCAUUAUCUAUUGGAUUCUAGACACCACUAAUAUUCAGUUAUCCAGAAUAUAAUUGAACAAGAUGACCUGCAUAUAUAUGUAAUACUGUAUUAAGGUAUAUAUAUCCUUAUUCAUGGAAUUAGAUCCAAGUAAUAAUAAUUAUGUAACUAAUUAUUUACUAAGAAAUUAAAACAAAAAAUGAAUCACAUUAUGAUUUUUGUCCCCCUUUUCUUGUAUCAACUAUAAAUUGUAGAUAAUUUUUUUUUGGGAGCUGCCCCGGUAUCACGUAAAAUUGUAAUACAUUAUAGGGUAAAUGACACUUAACCCGCUGUUGUUAUAAGCUUUUGCAUAUGAUUUUCUUGUGCUUGUAAUAUAAGCUAUAACCCUCUUAUGGUUGAUGGGGUAGCUUCCGUUAGUUUUUCCGUCCAACUUGACCACGUGUGUCAAACGUCAAAGUAAUAUGUUUGCAGAUGACUCCAUCGUGCUUUCCUUUUUGCAGAUAACCCCCUUGACGUUUGGCACACACGAUAAGUUUGACGGAAAAAUUAACGGAAGCUAUCUUAUAAACCACAAAGGGGUUAUGUGCUGAUACUACGAGCAAAUUAACAAAUGAAUUCAAACUUGGGUUAAUUGACACAAAGCUCGCUUACUCCAACUGCCAGGCUAUCCUUUGCGGGACUCGGGAUUAAUUAAUUAAUCCAUCAUGAUUAAUUACGAUAUCCAAUCACAUGAGACUUGGAUACAAUUGGUUCUCCACAACCCUUCCAUUCAUUCAUAGAUCGAUUUGUAAUUAAAGUAUAAUUAAACUGUGAACUGAAAUUGGAUACGUAAUCUUCUAUCCAAUAUAUAAAUUUAUGAUAACCUAAUCAUGAAUUAAGUGCACUUUUAAUCGUGGUUGGAAAUUAAAAUUAUGUAAUAAGUUGGUGUAGUGCGUGUUCCAUGCUUACCCCUAACUAAUUAAGAGAUGGUAAGUUUUUUAUUUAAUUUUAGUAGUUAUAUAUAGGGAUAACUUAUUAAAAAAAUUCUAACUUUUCUCAAACCUAAACAAUACUAGCUAGUGGGAUAUAUAAUAAAUAUGUAGGGGUGGCAAUUCGGAUCCGGAUCCGGAUUCGGUGGGGUCCACAUAGAUCCAAGUUCAAUGCAUUUCCGAUCCAUUCUUUUGAACAUGAUUCGAGUUCAAUUUUGUUCAAAUUCGAUCAAACUUUAUUUGUUAACUCGAUCCGAUUGAAUUCUUAGAUCGUGCAUGUCGUAUGCACUCACCACUUAUGAGAAAAUAAUUACUCGUAUGUCUAUACAUGCUUAAUCAAGAAAAUUAUUCACAUUUUCUUUCAAAAACUAUAUGUAGAAGUAGAAAGUUUGUGUAACAAAAAUUGUUUCCGAGCAUUCAAGUGCCACGGUCUGACGGUAAAGUAGUAUUUCAUUUGAACUGGUGAAAUUCGAAUUUUCAAUAUAACUGUAUUAAAAUAUCCCGUUUGAUGGAGUAGGAUCUACACUCUCAAGACCUCACUCAAGAAACCCUACUCCUUUUAGACCGUUGAAAAGUACACCGGACGUUGGAUCUUAAACCGGCGCCGGUGAAAUAAUGAACGGAAAAUAAUAAGUAUGAGAGAGAGUUUGGAAGAUAGUAUAAAGUGUUCUUAUUGAUUGUAAAUCGUGACCCUGAUAGGGUCUUUACAUUCAUUUAUAUAGAGAGUUUCUAAUUAGACAUUUUCUAAUUUAGAAUCUCUUUAUUCGAAUUGUUUGUUCAAUUACUCAUCUUAAUUUACAUGUUUCCCUUAUCUAUUUAGGGAGAGUAUCUCAGAGUCUUCUGCUUCUAAGUUCUAACGACUCUCGUUCAGUUCGCCACCUAUCACUUCCUGAUACACUUUUUAUGAGGGCAGAGAAGUAGUGGUGAACUUUAUCCAUGCAAGCUAUGUGUCAGCAAACUCUAUAUGUUAACCUCUUCAUCGACGAACAUCUGGCCCCACCUUGAUUCUUGUCAUUCAUUAGACUUUUGGCCCAAUAAUCUUAAUUUUGAGGGUCUGGCUCAAGCCUGCCAAACUGACCCUUCACCGUUCUUUAACCAUUACACAAAUUUGACCCAAAUGAACCGGAUUUGGAUCCGAACCCGCAAACCCGAACCCGUUUCCAUCCCAACUCGUAAUGGUUGGUGGCAAAAUUAGUUGGGAAAGGUCAGAAAAAGACAGCAAAAUCAAGUUCUUUGGUGUGUGAAAAUGCAAGUACAACACACUUAUACACACGUUUUUAAUGUAAAAAAAUAAAAGAAGACCAUCGCCUAAGUUAUAUAUUUAUUUUCGACGGGGGCCCACUUGUAAAUGGGAUUACGAUAUUAACCAUUGAUGAACAUGUUAGGGAGGUAAUGAAAAAAUAAUGAAAUUUUUUGUUUGGCUAUUUAAGGAGAGCCACAAAAAACGGUAGACCAGAAAAUUUAAUUUGAGAAAAAACGUUUUUAUGUUGUAGUAUUAUUAUUUAUUAGAGACAAACACGUGGAAAUUGAUGGUUGGACAAUUGAGUUUUUCUUUGACUGCCAAAAUUGGGCACUACAAAUAGAAUUCAAUGAAAGGCUGUCUAUAGAGUAUAUAUUGGGCAAUAAGGAAAUUCGAAUUUAUUUGUCUAUAUUACUAGUUGUCCCGACAUAAUAUUUUUUUAAUAGGGAAAAUAUAUUCCAAUUAAUUUAUCUAAUAUUGUUGGGGUUAAAAUAACAAUAUGCGUAAAUAAUUAAAAAAAAAUUGCACAUACUUGUUUGACGAAAAUAAUACGAAAUAUAAAAAAACCAGAAGGAAUUGAAUGAAGGUUGCAAUUGCAAUGUACUUAUGACAAUAUUUUCAGAUUAUCCAGAGUGCAACAGUCUUUCCAGAUUAUCUCUCAAAAUACAAUAGUCGGUUGUCGAAUAUUUGCACUAAUAUCAGACCCACAAUGAACUUAGAACAAUGAAUGUAAUUUUUCUCAUAACCAAACUAAUUAGACUUGGGCCAUUUAAUUAAUAUAUUAUAUGUGUUGAACUUCUUUAAUUAUUUAUUUAAUUUGAGCGAAAUAAUUAAUUAAUUAUUAAAAUCCUAAUGAUUAUUCUAAUGAAAUGGUCACAAAAUUAAUCUUUUUCACUUCCAAAAUUCAUUUUUUUAAUUUUUUGUUUCCAAUUAGUUAUAAUGAUACUUAAAAAAAAAAAAAGAAUAAUUCUAAUGAGCUUGUAAAAUCACCCAGAAAGCGACAAAAAAUAUAUUUCACGCCCAGUGGGACUCGAACCCACAAUCGCUUGAUUAGAAGUCAAGCGCCUUAUCCAUUAGGCCAUGGGCGCUUCUUGUUAAUGUGAGGAAGAGAACAGUAUAUAUCCUAUACUAUAUUUGGAAUCUUAGAUAUUUUUAAUUAGAAUUCUAGAAAUAAAUUUAUUUCCAGCAAGGAAAAAGAAAUAAAGAAAAACUGCAAUAGAAAUAAAUAUGUGCAUACCUUUUGGUGGAAUUUGUACACUCGGAAUUUUAAUUAGAAUUUGAAAAUAUUGGGCUUUCCAUAUUAAAAGAAUUAGGACAUGGGCCGGACCACCAUUACCAUACUUAUGUAGAGUUAAUUGCAAAACUCAGUUUUACAAUGUUUUUUAUUAGCAUAAAUAGUUUUUGCAGCCCUAGGUUAAUUAAUUUAUUUAUUUAUAAAUAUUUUACUAGAUACCAUAGUUUUGAAACUCAAUGUGUUUUGGAAAAUUCAAGUUUUUAUUGUGUUUAACGAGAUCGGAUUUUUUUCUUGGUAUUUCAUUGAGUUAGAAAGUCAAUUCAAAAGUCUACAACUAUGGUGUUCCGAGUUUUCCCAAAUUCAUACAAAAAGAUAGUCAAAAUUACGCCCAGAGUAGAAUUAUAGUGCAUAGGGAAAUUUUCAUUCAUUUAUGCAAAACUCUCUCAUUCAACAUUUAAUGUAGCUGAUUCAAAUUGAAUUAAAAAGGUAACUCAAAUGACUACAUAUUUAGUUGGAGGCUGAUUUACUAAUCUAUGUUCAACCUUAGAAACGGCCCAAUAAAGAUGGACUAGGCCGAAGCCCUGCGAGGCCCCAAAGCAAAGAGGAGUACCUAGGCCCGAGUAAUUCGCUUCUUAUUCUAUAGCGAAACACUUUGUUAGUUUCACUAAAGAAUAGGGGGAGUAGAAAAUGGGGGUUGAUUUGCUAAUAUAUGUUUAACCCUCGGAACGGCCCAGUAAAGAUUGAUAAAAAAAAUGAUCUUCUCUCUCGUAUACUAUAAGGCUCGUGAGAAAACCCUAUUAGGGUUACAUUAACAAAAAGAUUUCAAUAAAUAACAUUGAAUACUCUCUCCCAAGCUCUCUCUUAUAUUUACUAUUUUCCUUUCGUCAUUUUCACCACCGCCGACAUAAGAUCCGAUGUAUGGUGUACUUUCCAACGGUCUAAAAGAAGUAGGGCUUAGAGUGAGGUUUUGAGGGCGUAGAUCCUACGCCAUCAGCUAUGAUCGAUUCAAGUACUUAUGAAAUUAUUUCGAACUAAUCCAUUAGAAAUGAAAUUUCACCAGUUUUCACAUAAUAUGAUUUUUAAACUAAAUAAUCGCACAUAAGUGUUAAUUAAAUUUAUGCCAACUAAAUAUAUGCUAGAUUAGCGGAAUUUAAAUUAGGGUAAACUUCAUUUUGCCUACCUGAACUAUACCCAACGUAUAAAACACCCCCCUGAACUUCGAAAUGAACCAAAACAGCCCCUCAGUUAAAAAUCCGUCCAUUUUGCUGAUGUGGCGUGUUGAUUUUUUUAAAGUAUUACAUUUAUUCCAGCUGUUCUAUUUUUUGGACAAUUUUACCCCUCUAUUGAAUAUAUAUGUUUGUGAGUAAACUGCAAAAAGGAAAAACAAUAAAGGCUUAAUUGCAAUUAUAUUAAAUUUCUUAAAACUUUAAUUUGGGACUUGAUUGCAAUUUCACACCAAAAAAAAUUCAUGAAUUACCUCUACCACCACCACACCUCUUCCUCCGCCUGAAUAAAUUAAAAAAAAAAUCUCUGAUUUUAUUGUCCACCAAAAUUCACGUCGUCCCAUCAUCAAUUCGAAAUCUACUUCGAUGAAAUUUAACAGAAAGAAAAUCUUUUAUUUUGGUGAGUAAUCUGAAAUGGGCAUCUCUGAGGAGGAUGGCUUCGAAUUGUGGGAUGAGGUUUGGUUGGCGGCUGCGUUUCUUCUUGAAUUUCUUGGAGAUUUUGGUGUGGAGAAAAGAGGUUCACACAGGGGGUGGAAAGACCACGACGGUAGUGGUGGUGGUGAAACAAAGGUAGCGCCACCGUGGAUUUGAUGAUAAUUUGACCCGUUUGUGGAGACGAUUGUGAUUUGUGAGGUAGAUGAAGUACGAUUCAAAUCUGAAAAUGGUUGGAGUUAAUUAGGAUUUCAUAUGAUUCAUAUAGAGAGAGAGAGAAGUGAUUGAUGAAAAGGAUGAAUUUUUUUAUGAUAAAAUUCUGGGAAUUGCUUUUAUCGGAAGAACAGAGAGGGA